This 56003-nucleotide long non-coding RNA is filed under the name Gossypium barbadense (sea-island cotton). Its description in RNAcentral is "long non-coding RNA (GBAR_LNC011541)". Lineage: Eukaryota; Viridiplantae; Streptophyta; Magnoliopsida; Malvales; Malvaceae. The record is from RNAcentral.
AUCAUAAAAAUUUAAAAGCCAUAUUUUCAUCUUUUUUCUUUGACAGAAACAUUAAAGAAAAAAAAAGAAAUAAGGUUUUCAAUGGUUCAGCCAUUGUUAAGCUUAAUCAAGGUAUGUAGCUGUAAGACCUAAUUUGUGACCGGGCUUACACAAACUAAAAAACAAAUCAAAAUAUAAAUAAUAAUAAUAAUAAUAAAGUCUAAUGUCCAUUUCUUACAUAGCCCAACAACCAAAAAUAACGGGCUCAAAUUAAAAAACCUAAACCCAACAAAAUACACAGCUCACUGGCCCAAAUAAUCCAAGCUUCAGUUUCAGAAAAUGAAACCCUAAGUCAGUAGCCUCGUGCCGCAGCCUUCACGAGUGGCCUCGCUACAUCGCACGUGCACCUCCGUUCCUCCACGUCAACGGAACCUGUGAGAAGGAAAAUAAACAGCAAAGGAAUGCACGAGAGAGAAGCUAACAGAAUUUACAGCGAUUGACAGCAAGAAAAUGUAAUUUUAUUUUUUAUUUACUCUGUAAAUCCGGCUAUAAAAAGCCAUCGAAUGUACCUGCAAAGGAGGCAUAUGACGCACAGUGUACGCAUACACACAUACAAUAUACAGAUAUUGAAUAGAAAAGUUUAAAAGCAUUUUGAAAAGGUAAUUUUCUUUAGUCUUUUUAACUAUUCUGUUAUUUUUUAUAUAUUUUCUUGCCAUUGCUUUCAUCAUCUGUGUUUUAAAAUAAAGAGGAGAGAAAAGCAAGUCUCACCUUGCAAAUCGGCCACCGAUCUCCGUUCACUUCGUUGAGAUCGAAGUAGAAAGGGGAUCCAAAGGCAACAUCUAUUACUGCUGGUGCGCCAUUGAGCACCAAAUUAAAUGGUGGAUUCGACAGAUGCAGAAAACCGAAGCAAAUUGAUUUUUGGGGGUUGUUAAUUUAGGUUAAAAAAUGGCUGAACUAAAAGAAGAGAAAAAGGCAUUAAAACCUUUGUAGAAAGUGGUGCUGUUUGAAAUGGAAAAGUCCACGUGUAAACCCGAUGCAAAAGACAGAUCUGCACUCUUUUUUAUCUUAAAUGAGCUAUUUGCACGUCUGAUCCUUCCCGCAUAUGUCAAUCUUCAAUCGGAUCCAACCUAUGCUACACUUAUUUUUUUAUUUUGUCUGGGAAUUUGUACACUAUUGCGAUUUGAUCCACGGCUAAAUUCAGCGUUUUGAAAUGUAAAUUAUUUCCAAUUCUGGUCCUUAUACAUUUGCAAGCAUGACGCCUAAGUCCCUAUUUUGAUUUUAAUAGUUUUAUUUUUAAAAUUUCCUUCGUAUUUUAACUCAAUUUUAAUUUAGUUUUAUUUGUAUAGUCUACCAUACAUUCAACGUUGUACAUGUAUUAGCUUAAUUGAGAUUUUAAUUUAUGAUGCAUAUUAUUUAAAAUUGGUUUAAUUUUUUUAAAAUUAAUUUGAUCUUUGUUAACAGCUUCUUCUAUAUUUUAUUUGCAAUUAGGUUAUAGUUUUUUUUUUUUUUGCGUAACCUUUAACUCAAAAUUUUUUUUUAUUUUGGCAGCUAUAUUAUUUAAAUCAAGUCUUUUGUUCACUAUGAUUUUGAGAAUUCAUUUGGUUCUUCAUAUAUAUACAUGCUAAAUUAUGUUUCUCACUUUAUAUAACUAUUAUUUUGAAGCUAUUUUAUAUUAUAUUGUUUUAAUAAUUUAUAUAAUAUUUUUUUAAUAUUUUUGUGUAUAUUUGUACAUAUAUUAUUUUAAUGGUUUUUUUAUUUAAAAUACUUAUUAUUUUAAAAUUCAUUUAAAUAUGUAUGCAAGGUUAUUUGGGAAAUUCAUUCUUGUGUUUACAAAAUUAUUAUUUUGAAACGCUUCUUUAUGUUAUAUUAUCUUAGUGUUUUAUUUAGUAUCCCUUCUAAAUGUUUUAAGUAUAAUAGUAUGUAUAUAAUUUAUAAGAUAAUCUAAUUUUAUAUGUAUUAUUAAUUUCAUAUUUUGUUUAUAUAAAUAAUUAUUCCUAUAUCAUAUGUGCAUGUCUCAAAAGAAAAUCUAUUAUGUGUACUAUACCUUGCCAUGUAUUAUUAUUUCUUCAUAUUUAAUAUAUUAUUUAAGUUAUCAUUAAGCAUAUAUUUUUGUAUUUAUAUUUAAUUUACAUACAUUAUUAAAACCAUGAUAUUUUUAAAUAUAUAGUUUUUUUUAAGUUUGUACCUAAUAAUUUUUAUUAAAUGCAUAGUAUGUGAUAAAAUUAAGUUAAUUUUACAAUUCAUAUUUUUAUUUCAUGAUAUUCUAACAUUUAAUUAUUUCUAAAAUAUAUGUAUAUAACCCAUAUUAAAUUAUUUUAUUAUAGUCUACAUUAUUGAUUUCAAAUUAAUAUUUCUUUUACGUAUAUAUAUAUAUUUUCUCUUUAAAAUUAUUCAUGCGUAUAAUGCGUUUAUUUUAAGAACUAUAUUUUAAGUCGUACCAUUUAUUUAUUGUAUAUAUUCUCCUAUUUUAUUAUCCUUAUACAUGUAUUAUUUUCAUCAAUCCAAAUCAAGUUGUUAUAUAUAAAAUUAUGUUAUAUUUUGUUUUAAAUUUCCCUUUAUAAAUAUAGUUUUAUAAAUAUACAUCACUAAAUUUAUGUAUUUUGUAAAUAUAAUUUUCUUUGUUAUGUACACUCUAUCCUAUCAUGUUUUUUCUUUUUUCUUUUAUAUGUUAUUUAAGCAACCAUGCAUAUUAUCAAUUUUUAAAAUUUGUGUUUGAAAUGUUUUGCAUAUUAUUCGAUUCAAAUGUUUUAUUCUACAAUAUUUAUGUCAAAUAAUUAUAUAUCUUUAGUUUUCAUACCAAUUUGUCAACUUAUUUUAUGUGUUAAUUAAUUCAUCAUUAUUUUGAAAAUGUCCUAUACUAUGCUAAGUUCUAAUUCCAUUUCAUUUUGUACAUAUUUUAUGGAUCAUUUUAUAUUAUGUCCUGUUAAUUAUUGUUGUAUAUCAUUUUUGUAUUGAUUGUUCGUCAUCUAUGAUUAAGAAUUUGGUCAUUUUACUUAGAAUAAUUGUACAUAAUUAUGGAUUUGUUAAUUGCGACUUGUUGUAUCCUAUUAUUUCAUGCUCAUUAACCCUUUCUCAUACAAAUGUUUUGAUACAAUGAAGCAUUCCAUUUUAAAACGGAUAAACGUGUUUUGAGCAAAUUUCCAAUUUUCUUUCUCACUCAAAAUUUUUGAAAUAAGGCUAUAUCCAAUAUUUGGGGAGUUCGGAAAAUCGUGCUCAAUCGUACUGGGUAUGAUUUUUUCGGUGAACUAAAUAUUGGGAUAACCUUUUAUAAUUUUAGUUUACGAGUUUUCAAAAGUCGAAAAUCAAUCGCGUUUUAAAGGUAUAAGGGAUCGUAUCCAAUCGUGCUGAGUAUGAUACUGCAUAUCUUUGAAACGAGAGAAUUUUGACCAUUAAUUUAAACUAUUCGAACAUUUUAAAAAAGAAUCAUACUUUGGGAAAUCUUUUCUUUAAAAGGCCUUUUGGCAUAAGAAUAGCAUCAAAUCAAAUUGGUACCAAUUUUUGGGCGUAAUGACGGUGCUAACCCUUCCUCAUGCGUAAUCGACUCCCGAACCCACUUUUUUGAUUUUACAUGAAUAAAGAGUUUUAGUAGGUGGCCCAAUCACACCUAAAUCAAGAGAUUGGUGGCGACUCCACAUUUUUGUUUUCAAAAGUCGAUCUCCAUUGUUUUCAAAAUAAAAAGGGUUUCGACAGCUCGGCAACUCCACUGGGGAUUGAACAAAGAGAGUCAGGCCAUAAAAUUGAUUAUUUGCUUUCCUUUUGUCAAAGAAUUGAAAAUUUGUUUUGAAAAUCAUGAUUCUUUUAAUUGCAUUUGUUUGCAUGAUUAUUGUGGUUCGAGUCUUGUAGAAUAAUAUGGCAUUACAUUGCAUGACCGCUGUGGUUGUAACUGUUAAGUAGGAGUAAGAAACUAUGCUUUCGUAAGGUUUUCACCUCCGUAUGGGCUAGUGGAUUGCUUUCGGGAUACAUCCGUACCUAUGAUUUCGUGAGAUUUUCAUCUCCGCAUGGUCAUAGGGAAAUGUAUUCCCCUGAAUCGAACUCGAUUCAUAUGAGCCUAUAAUGGGUGAGAAUUGAGGAAUCUGCUGGUUCAGGUACCCUUUCUUUAGAACCAAACCACAUAUAGUAAACCUUGAGAAUCCACCUUAUGUAGAACCUUGCCCAAAUUUAGUGGUCACCUGAAUAGGUACUUUAUUUGAUAUUUAUUUCACCUAUACUAACGUGUUUUGUUUUUGUUUUGUUUAUAAUUGCAUUGCAUUACAUCAUCAUAGAAAGGAGGUGUUGAUUCAUAUUUGAUUGCUAAAUAGAACAGUUUGUCAUAAGAAAACGAAUUUCCUAAUGAAGUGGAUUAUAAUACGGUUGUCUGAAUUGACGGAAGAAGGCUGACAGUUCGUGGAGAAAAACAAGUCCUUACCUGAAGAUUCAAGCUGAUAAAGAUUGUUCAAGAGCCGUCGCAUCUCGAUUUUCUUAAUGGAGCUAAUCAACGUCGCGAGGAUAAUGAGUCGUAGCCUGGAUCAAGCAAAGAAGAGCUACUGGAGGCAUUUAUUAGAGGCUUGCGAGAUUUGGAUUUCACGAAGAAAAGGGAUCGGUGUCUUUGCCUGGAAUAUGAAAGCAAGGCCGUAUAUGUAAUCCGUUUUAUGUAAAGGAAUUUGUUUUCUUGAAAACUUGUUCUAAUGGAAUUAAAUUGAAAAUCAACAUCUCUCUUUCUUUUGCAUUCAUCCCAUGCAUUUGCAUUGCAUUGCAUCAUUUCAUUAUUUGCAUUAAAUUUUUAUAAAGGGGUCCCUAAUUAGUUGAAAUCAUUUCAGUUAAUCUAGGAACCAAUAAAAACUUACCAACCAAGCAUCAUUACGGUACCCGUGCUAAGACAAAAGAUAUGGACAAAAGAUUGGAAAGACUUGAACAACUUCAAAGAGAGAUGCAAGACCAGUUACAAAUACAGAUGCAAGAGCAACUAGCGAAGAUUAGGCAGGAUAUGAAAGAUCUGGUGCUAGAAUCUUAAAGGAAUAUGUUGAACCGGUUGUCUCAAUUGCUGACAAAGGGGCUUAAAGAAAGGAAAAGUUCUAUGAUCAAUACUGGGAAGGACAAUAAAGAGCCUCUCUACCCUCCAGGUUUCACCCCGACGAAUGUUCAGACGUGUCUGCAAGGUGUACCUAUUAUCAGAACUCAGCAAUAUCAGGCUGGUAACUCAGUAUCGGUGGAUUACCUGAUAGGCUCAAGCUCCAAUCCGAGAGGAAACCUAACCAAUCUUGAAGUUCUUGAUCUAGAUUAAAUGGAAAAAGUAAAGAGGGAAUUACCAAAACAACUCGAAGAUCGGUAUAGGUGGUUGGAGGAAAAAUUGAAAGCAAUGGAGAGUGUUGACUUCUACUGUGGAAUUGAUGCCAAGGAUUUGAGUUUGGUCCCUGAUCUAGUACUCCCGCCAAAGUUUAAGAUUCCUGAGUUUGAAAAGUACAAUGGGACCAGUUGUCCUGAAGUUCACAUCAUAAUGUUCUGUCGAAGGAUGACAGGGUAUGUUAACAACGACCAAUUAUUAAUUCAUUGCUUCUAGGACAGUCUAAUCGGGUCAGUAGCUAAAUGGUACAACCAAUUGAGUCGUGUUAAAAUCAAUUCAUGGAAGGACUUAGCACAAGCUUUUAUGAAGCAGUAUAGCCAUGUAACAGAUAUGGCAUCCAACAGAAUUACCUUGCAGGAUAUGGAAAAGAAGCAAAGUGAGAGCUUCAGGCAAUAUGCCCAAAGAUGGAAAGAGGUAGCAACACAGGUCCAACCGCCUCUUUUGGAAAAGAAGACCACGAUGCUUUUCAUCAAUACUCUAGAAGCUCCGUUCAUUAAUUAUAUGUUGGGAAGUACUACGCUGAGCUUUUCAGAUAUAGUAAUGUCUGGUGAGAUGAUUGAAGAUGCGAUAAGAAAUGGGAAAAUAGAUAUGGGAGAAAAUGCCAAAAGGUCAAAUCCGAGAAAUGAGGAAAAUGAAGUGAACAUCACGAGCAUGCCUUCCAAAUUGGUCAACAUAAGCCAGCCAAGGGUUGUAACCGCUGGUUAUCAAAGAGAAUUUGAAUGACAUAUCUAAAGAGAGGUCCAGGGAAUAAAAGUUUCUAAAACCUUAUGUAUUUGGGGGUGUUUUAAGAAAUGGAACUGUGGAAGAGAUCCUUGUAUUUUUAGAGUUGAUUUAGAGUAAUAUUCAAAACACACUUGUUGCCUUAAGCCUAGGGGCAAUAAGAAUCCUUUUGUGAAAUAGGCUUGUGUCCAAAACUUUUUAUUUCAAUAAAAUGCAUGUUUUUUGAAUUUUCUUUCAUUAUUUAUUCUUUUGUUCUUUGGACUACUUUUUUUAAAAAAAAUAUGCUUUUGUUCUUCAUUCAUGAUCAUACUAUACAAAUAAUUAUCCUUAGAAUCUUUGGAAUUAGUCUUUGUACCUACAAUAGGUCCCCAGAUAUUAAUGACAUGAGCAACGCUGUAACUAACUCCCUUUUGGGGUGAGAUAUGUGUUUAAGCGGAUCUCAGGACUUUGAAGAUGACAGAGAUUGUGACUUAUUUCCUGAUUUGUUAAGGAUGGUAGAACAAGAUGAAAAAAAUGGAUCUUUGUAAUAUCCUGAUUUUGGGCCUAGUCAGAAUAGUGGUUUUGUGACCCAAAAAUUCGAGAUAGAAAUAAUUAUUUUAUGAUUAUUUUGAGGUCUAUGAUAUUAUUGCAUGAUUGUGUGAAAAUUUCGUGAAGAAAUUUUAUGCAUAAAGUGCUUAAAUUGAAAUUAGGGACUAAAUCGAAUAAUUUGUAAAACUUGCAUUCUAGAAGUUUCUAGUAUGAAAUUGUUUUGAAAUAUUAAUUAGAAGGUUUUAAAUAGAAAUUUUACCAAUUUCUAAGUCUAUGGAAAAAAAUUGGACAUGGAUAGAAUUUUUGGAAAGUUUAGUAGUAAGGGCAUUUUGGUCAUUUAGGGGUAAAAUGAAUUAAAAUAUAAAAUUAAAAGCCAAUUUUGCUCAUCUUCAACCCCAUGGCCGAAUAUAGCAAGGAGAAACCAUGGCUAGGGUUUUCAAGCUUCCAAGCUCGAUUGUAAGUCCGUUCUAGCCUCGUUUUUUGGAGUCUUAGUAGCUCGAUUAAGCUUAUGCUAGCAAUAAUUCAACCUAGGGUUCAUAUUUGGAAAAUACCCAUAGGUGAAAUUUGUGUAUUUUGGUGUUUUAUGAUAGAAUAUGAGGUUUUAAAUUAUGUUAGACAACUUGUGCUACUCGGUUUUAAGCGAAAACUAGCAAAAGGGCUUAAUCGGUAAAAAUACCUAAUAGUCAUAAGUACAUGUUAGAGUGAGAAUUUGAUGUUUCUAUAGAAGGGAAAAAUGAUCAGCAUGUCAUAAAACAUAAGAAAAUAGGCUGAAUUUUAAUUUACGAGCUUUGGGGAAAAAGUGUAAAUAUGCAAAAGUUUAGGGGCAAAAUUGUAAUUUUUCCAAAAUAUGAUUUUGGGUCCAUUUGAAUAAUGUGAGUCCUAAUUAGACUAUAUUUUAAAUGAUAGAGCAAGGAAAACUAAAAUUUAGGCUAAAAUGGAAAAAUACCAAGUUGUGGACGAAAUAGUAAAAGUAGCCAUUUUCGCGUACGAGGUAAGUUCAUGUGUAAAUGUAGUAACAUAAUUGUCAUAUUAAGCAAUUUAAUGUUGUUUAUAUGAUAUGAUGCUGAUUAUUAUCAUGAAAUAUUAUGCUUUGUAGUUAUUGUUGAAUAAUAUGUAAUUAUGUGAAUUACUUGAUGAGUAUGAACUAUCACCGAAGUAUCAAUUUCGAUAUUCCGUGGAAGAUGGCAAAGAUGUGAGAUCAAGGAAAAAGCCCGUUUGAACCUUAGGAAUAGAUUAGGAUACAAGUGACAUGUCACUAGGAUGUUUGGGCAUCCGAACUCGUUGAGUUGAGUCCGAGUUCACUUAUGGAUGCGAAUGUCCAAACUCGUUGAGUUGAGUCCGAGUUCGAGAGAUUUAACUAGGCAUCCGAGCUCGUUGAGUUGAGUCCGAGUUCACUUAUGGAUAUGAACGCUCGAGCUCGUUGAGUUGAGUCCGAGUUCACUUAUGGGCGGGUUACAUGGUAGCUUGGCUACAUAUGUGGCACUUAUGUGCAAACUUUCCAUGUAUCCGAAUUAUAUUCCGAUGUGUUCAACGGGUAAAGUUCUACUCAAAUGGAGGAAUACUCAAGAUGAAAGGGACGUAUUGGUAAGUGUUGUGAAAUGGAUACUUUGAACAGGUAUGUACUUAACCCUCGGGUUGAAAACUCGAUAUAACAACAAUAUGGUAAGAUGAUAAAUGAAAAUGUGAUAUGGAUGUCUUGGUGAUGAUUAUGCAAAUGAUGUUUUAUGUUUGCUUAUAUGGUUAUGUUACUUGCUAUUUGCAUGUGAACUUACUAAGCAUUUAUGCUUACUCCCUCCUUUUCAUUCCUUGUAGUGUUGACAAGCCAGCUCGGAAAUCGAAAACGGUCGGAGGCACGCUCACACUAUCUGUAUACCAUCUUGGCAUAAUGGCUUGUAUAUUUUGAGUAUGACAUGUAUAGCAUUAUAAUCAUUUUGUGUAUAUGGUCUUAUGAUAUGGUUAUUGAGUGGUAUGGAAAUGCUUGGUAAUAAUUAGCCAUUGGAAUGGCUAAUCAUGAUCAUAUUUGGUGUUAUGUAUGCUAAAUUGCUAGCUAAUUCAUGGAAACCAUGAAAUAGGUAAAAUUUACCAUAAAAUAGAUUCAGACAGCAGCAGUGACGUGAGUUUGAAAAAUCACUAAAAAUAGUAGAGAUACAACUAGAUGAUGAAUAAUAUAUGGAAUUGAAUAAUUAUGAGUCUAUUUUCAUAUGGAUGGAACAAAACAGGUAUAUGAGUUAUAUUUUAUGAGAUGUUUAAAUUUUUGUGAAACAGGGCUAGUGCGAUUUCUGGAUCCCCUGUUCUGACUUUGGAAAUUCACCAUAAAUGUUUCAAAAAUAAUUAGAAGUCAUGAUUUAUAUGUACAGAUUCCUUAUUUAGUCUAGUUUUAUUAAAAAUAAACGACAUAGUCAUUGAAACUCUGUACAGGGAGAUAUUUGAUUCGUAAUACACAGAGGUCAGAGCAGUCGAACCCUGAAAUAGGGGAGACUUUAACUAAUUAACUGUACUAAUUUUCUUGACCAAAAAUUCUUGAAAAAUAAUUAUGAAAUAGAUAUAUGAGUCUAGUUUUAGGGAAAUUUUACGGAAUUAGAUUUUGAGUUUCGUAACUCGAGAUAUGAAUUUUUAAGCGACUAUGACGCAGAUUGUUAGCUUGACUGAAAAUUUUAAAAAUAAAUUGUUUGAGCUGUUUAAGUAAUGAAUUAAGUUUGUUAACACCUCGUGUUUGACUCCAGCGACGGUCUCGGGUACGGGGCGUUACAUUUGGUGGUAUCAGAGCAAGUUUAGUCGGUUCUCGGACUAACCUAGCAUGUGUAAAAGUUUAGCUAUACAUGCCACUGAUCUGUGAUAGUGUGAUGUCUUCCGACGCGUAUGAGUACCGUCUUAUUUAGACAAGGUACUCUCCAACCGAGCUGCGCCGACCAUGUUCAAUGUUAUGUGAAGGUAUUUGAGUAAAAUUAUGAUUAUGAUAAGUCUCGGUUCAGAAAAGUAUGAAUAAAAGUUUAUGAUACAUAUGUGAUAAAUAUUCAUAUUUGCUUAAUGCUCAUAUGAUGUAGUGUAUGUGGCUUACUUGAUAAGAUGAAUGGAAUAAAUAGAAAGUAGUAGAGGUAUGAAUAAAAGUCAUAAUAUUAUGAUACGAAUGAAAAUGUCCUUGUCUUGAUUUGGACGUCUAAUGUUGAUGAAUGCUAAUGAUAUAUAAUUUUUAUGAGAUAAAGGAUUAUAAUGGAAUGAACUUAUCUAUGUUAAAUUGUUGGACUGAAUUAUAUGAUUGUAAUGAUAUGUACAUGAUGAUGCACGAAAUGAAAGUUGUGACUGUGAUGCAAAUAUCUAUGUUUGUUUGGCCUUAUAUGAUGUCAUGAGCAUGAAUUAAUUUAAUUAAAUGAAUGGAUAAGUAAAGCUAUCUAGAAAACAUAGAAUGUAUGCAUAAGUAUAUUGUCUAAAUGGGACAAUAGGAAAAUUGGUGUAAGCCAACAUGAAUGUUGCAUUGCCUGAAUGAAUGACAUGAUUUUGAUGAUGGAAGUUGUGUCAUAUGUGUAUGUAUAAGAAGGUCGAGUCAGAGGUCCUACAACCCCUCCCCCUUACCAAAGUGGUACUUAUAAUGGAAUUUCAUGAGAUUUGUAUUGAAUAAGUUUCCGGUUGAGAACCCAAAGAGUUCAGUGAUAGAAUAAUUAUAAGUAUGAUCAGAGAUUGAAAAUGAGCUGAUAAGUAAAGUCAGAGUCAGUAAAGUAUCAGAUUGAUAUAAAGAUUAUUGGAAUUAUGCACUGUCCCAGUUAAAGAAGGAAAUUCUCUUUGGUAAAUCGAAUUACUCAGGUGCAAGGUCGAGAAAAGUGUAAAUCAAAAAUUUAUUCAGAACUGACCUUCUUUAGUGAAUGAUUUAAUAUGAAAUUUGUGAUGGCAGAACUAGUUGGGGAAAUGAUAUUUGAAAUGUGAACUAUCUGAGUGUGACAGUUAUGACUGGACAGAUUUAGCAGUCUCUUUUGAGAUGUUCUAUGUGUUUACCCGUUCUCAGAAAUAUUUCUAUGGCUAUUGAUCUUAUGAAGAAAUUCUUGUUAUAUGGGAAUGUCUUCUAAUUCUGGUGUUGGAUGAAAGCAUUGGUAGUCUGACUGGUUUAUAAUUUAUAUUGCUCUAUUUCAUCGGGUAUUCUAUUUUAUUUCGUCUGAUAAGAAUUGAUGAGAGAAUACGUAAGAUAUUAUGAUUCAGUUUCUUCUACUUGAUGCUUCAUCUGAUAUAUAUAUGUAUGGGAAGAUAUAUUGAUCUUGUUAUAUUUGAUUUCAGUGGGAUUAAAUGAUGUUUUCUUCUGGACUUUCUUUCUUUGAAGAAUUAUCGGGGUAUUCUAUAUUUUCUCUAUGAGUUUGGUUUUCGAUUCUCCGGCAUAGUAUCAUAUCUUGGGUUUCUUUAUCCUGGAUCUCUUUAUUCUGGAUUUCUUUAUUCUGGGUUUCUCUAUCUUGGAUUUCUUUAUUCGGUUUUCUUGUUAUCUUUGUUUCAUAAUUUGUCAAUUAAGACUCAUGUUCGAAGUGCGUUCUUCAGCUCGUGAUAAUCAUGUCAAAUAUGACUAUACUUCUAAUUUGAUCUUGGUAAUGUGGUGAUUUUAGUAUUGGGAUUUUUUCUAAUUUCUGUGUAAGGAUUUGACAUCAGUAAAGGCAUAGGUGAUAAAAGCGCGAGUUUCAGUCGGUAUGGUGAAUUAUUUAUUUGAAAGAUUUCAUGUGACAAUUAUGUCAGGAUUAUUUUUCUCAAGUCUGAUAAUAGAAUUUCAUUUUGUACAGAUAAAAGAGUAAAUAGUCUGAACGAGAAGUGUAUAUUUAUUAGAAAGAGUUGGAUAUUAGUUAAAGUCACUACGAAUGAUAAGGUUUUCGUCUUGUGAAAGCUGAAAAGUUUAUUACAUGUUGACAGAGUUCGGAUAGAUGAGAAUAUUGGUAACCGAAGCGUUUGAACUAGACUAGUCUACAUUGAGUAAAGACUUCCUGACUUUCAGUAAUGUACUGUUGUAUGAAUUGUGAUGUGUUUCAAGACAGUGAGGUAAUGUGAUAGUUUAGAGCAUUCGAUGUUACAUAAAAUCGGAGUUGUUAAAGGGUUAAAGCCAAGCAUUGGGAUCUAUCAAAAUUAUCCUUGUCAGUGUUGAUAUUGGGAUGAAAAUGAGAAGGAUUAUUCUUGAGGCCAUAUCAGAAAUAUUUCAAUGGCGGAAAGAGGAAAAUGUGAUGUAUCCUAUUGUUAAAUGUUUGGCGAGAUCUAUAAAUCAUAUAUGUAUUGAAUGAAUUCCUACUCAUCAGAUUCAUGGAAUUUCAGGUCUCUUUGAUUUUUGGAUUUCUUGGAAUUCCGGUCUCCAUUAAAUCAAGUUGAGAUCCGAGUUUUAUGUCAUGAUAUCAUGGGAAACUGAGAAGGGUUGAAAAUUUAAAAGAACAGUUGAGAGUUGAGACUGUAAGCUUUUAGAUCAUAUGAGAAAUUGAAGAGAUGUAUUGGAGGUACAGUCUAAGUGCAAGUACUUCGACACCGAAUAUGAGAUUAAAAGUGAAGACCACUUUUCUGGUAAGAUUUUCGGGGACGAAAAUCCCUAAAGGGGGGAGAGUUGUAAUAUCCUGAUUUUGGGCCUAGUCGGAAUAGUGGUUUCAUGACCACAAAAUUCGAGAUAGAAAUAAUUAUUUUAUGAUUAUUUUGAGGUCUAUGAUAUUAUUGCAUGAUUGUGUGAAAAUUUCGUGAAGAAAUUUUAUGCAUAAAGUGCUUAAAUUGAAAUUAGGGACUAAAUCGAAUAAUUUGUAAAACUUGCAUUCUAGAAGCUUAUAGUAUGAAAUUGUUUUGAAAUAUUAAUUAGGAGGUCUUAAAUAGAAAUUUUACCGAUUUCUAAGUCUAUGGAAAAAAAUUGGACAUGGAUAGAAUUUUUGGAAAGUUUAGUAGUAAGGGCAUUUUGGUCAUUUAGGGGCAAAAUGAAUUAAAAUAUAAAAUUAAAAGCCAAUUUUGCUCAUCUUCAACCCCAUGGCCGAAUAUAGUAAGGAGAAACCAUGUCUAGGGUUUUUCAAGCUUCCAAGCUCGAUUGUAAGUCCGUUGUAGCCUCGUUUUUAAUGAUUUUUACGUUUUUGGAGUCUUAAUAGCUCGAUUAAGCUUAUGCUAGCAAUAAUUCAACCUAGGGUUCAUAUUUGGAAAAUACCCAUAGGUAAAAUUUGUGUAUUUUGGUGUUUUAUGAUAGAAUAUGAGGUUUUAAAUUAUGUUAGACAACUUGUGCUACUCGGUUUUAAGCGAAACUAGCAAAAGGGCUUAAUCGGUAAAAAUACCUAAUAGUCAUAAGUACAUGUUAGAGUGAGAAUUUGAUAUUGCCAUAGAAGGGAAAAAUGAUCAGCAUGUCAUAAAACAUAAGAAAAUAGGCUGAAUUUUAAUUUACGAGCUUUGGGGCAAAAGUGUAAAUAUGCAAAAGUUUAGGGGCAAAAUUGUAAUUUUUCCAAAAUAUGAUUUUGGGUCCAUUUGAAUAAUGUGAGUCCUAAUUAGACUAUAUUUUAAAUGAUAGAGCAAGGAAAACUAAAAUUCAGGCUAAAAUGGAAAAAUACCGAGUUGUGGACGAAAUAGUAAAAGUAGCCAUUUUCGCAUACGAGGUAAGUUCAUGUGUAAAUGUAGUAACAUAAUUUUCAUAUUAAGCAAUUUAAUGUUGUUUAUAUGAUAUGAUGCUGAUUAUUAUCAUGAAAUAUUAUGCUUUGUGGUUAUUGUUGAAUAAUAUGUAAUUAUGUGAAUUACUUGAUGAGUAUGAACUAUCACCGAAGUAUCAAUUUCGAUAUUCUGUGGAAGAUGGCAAAGGUGUGUGAUCGAGGAAAAAGCCCGUUUGAACCUUAGGAAUAGAUUAGGAUACAAGUGACAUGUCACUAGGAUGUUUGGGCAUCCGAACUCGUUGAGUUGAGUCCGAGUUCACUUAUGGAUGCGAAUGUCCAAACUCGUUGAGUUGAGUCCGAGUUCGAGAGAUGUAACUAGGCAUCCGAGCUCGUUGAGUUGAGUCCGAGUUCACUUAUGGAUGUGAAUGCCCGAGCUCAUUGAGUUGACUCCGAGUUCACUUAUGGGCGGGUUACAUGGUAGCUUGGCUACAUAUGUGGCACUUAUGUGCAAACUUUCCAUGUAUCCAAAUUAUAUUCCGAUGUGUUCAACGGGUAAAGUUCUACUUAAAUGGAGGAAUACUCAAGAUGAAAGGGACGUAUUGGUAAGUGUUGUGAAAUGGAUACUUUGAACAGGUAUGUACUUAACCCUCGGGUUGAAAACUCGAUAUAACAACAAUAUGGUAAGAUGAUAAAUGAAAAUAUGAUAUGAAUGUCUUGGUGAUGAUUAUGCAAAUGAUGUUUUAUGUUUGCUUAUAUGGUUAUGUUACUUGCUAUUUGCAUGUGAACUUACUAAGCAUUUAUGCUUACUCCCUCCUUUUCAUUCCUUGUAGUGUUGACAAGCCAGCUUGGAAAUCGGAAAUGGUCGGAGGCACGCUCACACUAUCCGUAUACCAUCUUGGCAUAAUGGCUUGUAUAUUUUGAGUAUGGCAUGUAUAGCAUUAUAAUCAUUUUGUGUAUAUGGUUUUGUGAUAUGGUUAUUGAGUGGUAUGGAAAUGCUUGGUAAUGAUUAGCCAUUGGAAUGGCUAAUCAUGAUCAUAUUUGGUGUUAUUGAUGCUAAAUUGCUAGCUAAUUCAUGGAAACCAUGAAAUAGGUAAAAUUUACCAUAAAAUAGAUUCAGACAGCAGCAGUGACGUGAGUUUGAAAAAUCACUAAAAAUAGUAGAGAUACAAUUAGAUGAUGAAUAAUAUAUAUAAUUGAAUAAUUAUGAGUCUAUUUUCAUAUGGAUGGAACAAAACAGGUAUAUGAGUUAUAUUUUAUGAGAUGUUUAAGUUUUUGUGAAACAGGGCCAGUGCGAUUUCUGGAUCCUCUGUUCUGACUUUAGAAAUUCACCAUAAAUGUUUCAAAAAUAAUUAGAAGUCAUGAUUUAUAUUUACAGAUUCCUUAUUUAGCCUAGUUUUAUUAGAAACAAACGGCAUAGUCAUUGAAACUCUGUACAGGGAGAUAUUUGAUUCAUAAUACAUAGAGGUCAGAGUAGUCGAACCCUGAAACAGGGGAGACUUUAACUAAUAAACUGUACUAAUUGGCUUGACCAAAAAUUCUAUAAAAACAAUUAGGAAAUAGAUAUAUGAGUCUAGUUUCAUGGAAAUUUUACAGAAUUAGAUUUCGAGUUUCGUAACUUGAGAUAUGAAUUUUUAAGCGACUAUGACGCAGAUUGUUAGCUUGACUGAAAAUUUUAAAAAUAAAUUGUUUGAGCUAUUUAAGUAAUGAAUUAAGUUUGUUAACACCUCGUGUUCGACUCCGGCGACAGUCUCGGGUACGGGGCGUUACAAUCUUACUUUACGAAGGGUCAAUGGACAUUGUGAGCAAGGGGCAAAGAUUGAAACCUGAGUCACCACAAGGACAAAAUGAAUCGUCUUUGAGUUACUUCAAGAAUUCAAAGAUGUUUUCAUAUGAUCAUGUCGAGAUAUACUCGAGAUAUUAAGAUCUGUGGAUGAUACAAAAUGUCUAUACAGUGUCAGAAGGACACAUGUUAAUGGUUUCAUGGUAGCCACGCUAAUCAUGAGGUUUGGGUAUUUUUGUUCCACCAUGGAAGGGGAUUGCAUUGGUUAAGCUAUAUUUAGGGAAACAAGCUUCAUUCAUUUCUUUACAAACUUUUUCUAUAUGGGGCAUGUAUUGGUCCAUUCUCACCUAAUAUGCAUCUUGGCAGUCAUUGAUUACUCCAUGAAGAGGGUAAAGGUCGCUUCAUAUGUCAAUAUUACAAGAUUGAUAGUCAUCAAAUUCCAAAAAAAAAAGGGUUGCUGACAAGUAAUGAUAGAAAGGAUUACUUUCAAAUACAACUGCACAAUGUCAAAAGUUUACAGUCUGUUCAAAGACCAGACACUAUAUCACAGUGCAGCAAAGGCAUUCAAAAAGAAAAACAAAAGUACAAAAAUAGAAAAAAGAAAAAGGAAAAGCAAUAAAGGUCAUAGUGAAAAUGACUGAGUCUUGUAAGGAUUGGCAUAAAGAAGUUAUUAUUUACCCUAUAUGCUUAUCGAGCGUUGGCCAGGACCUUUGUUGGGGUAAUACAUUGCUCAUUGGUUUAUGGGAUAGAAACGGUUUUGAAGAUGAGGUUCUUUUUCUUCGAGUCUUGUUAGAGUUGACGUUGGAUAAGGCAAAAUGGAUCUAAACUUGAUAUGAUCAAUUAAAUUCGAAUAGAGGAGAUUCUGUCAUGGUCUAAUGCACUAGAAAUAAAUGAUAUGAAAAUUCCAAGAGGGGAACUUGAUGUUAAAGAAGAUCCUUCUUAUACAAAAGGACUUCAAAUGAAGAAAUAUGCCGAACCAGGAGGGACCUUAUGUAGUAAAGAAGGCCUAUUAUAGAGGAGUAUUGAUAUUGACCGAAAAGAUUUGCCCAAUUCUGAAAAUUCAAAAUGCAGUCAAAGAGUAUUCUACCUAAAAUAGGAGCCAAGGUGAAAACCCACAAAGGGCACCUUGAGACCUUAAAAAUAAAAGAAAGGAAAAGAUUAAAAUAAAAAAGAAAUUAAAAGAGAAAAAAAGAGAAAUUAAAAAAAUUAAAAAAUAAAAAUAAAAAAAAAGAAAGAAAAGGAGAGGCCAAGACGAAAACCCGUAAAGGGCGCUUUGAGACCAAAGGGGAUUUGAGUUGAAAACAAGGAAAGGGCGGCUCAAAUUUGGAUCAAAAUGGGGCACACAAUAGUCUUGCUAUGCCUGAAUUAACAAUGAAAGAACUAUGUUAUGUCUUGGGGCAUCGACAAAGUACUUUGGAUCCCCUAAACACAGAUUAAGCUCAGAAUGGUCAUCAAGAAGUUGGUAUAGAGAAGCUCAAACCGCAAUAUCUAGGGCAUCUAGCUUUCCAUUUUUACCCUUUUGUUCUCAAUAAACUUCUUUCUUGGUUGCAUUUGCUCAUUUAUUUUGAGCUAUGUUCUCAAUUAAUUCCUUUCUUGUCAUGAUUUUUUUCAAGCAUUUUGCAUUGAAAUAACGAUUUUUGGACAAAUAAUACUUUCAUAAAAUGAGUUUCAUAUAUUACUUUGAAAGUUUUUGAAUAAUAUAGGAGCCUGAAACAGGACUAUUAUUUAAAACUUACCAAGCUUAAGGGUUGGAAAAAUUUAAGCCCAAAUUGAGAUUAUCUCUUUGGAAUUUCUGUCAAAAAUAUUGAUUGAACAAAAAGGAAUUACAUCGGUGUUAUAAUCUCGGCAAAGAAUGAGUAAUGGGGUUAUUCUUGAGAAAAGAAAAAUGGUAUUCUGUAUUCAUGCAGAUAUCAGACAUAUACAUCUGUUCAUUAUACCCAGGGAAUGGUGCAACAGAUCAAAUUGAUUGAAGAUCCUAUACCUCUGAGUUAUAGCAGGAUGGAUAGAAGAAAUCAAAUGAUUAUUCCCCUGAAGUUGCAGUGGGAAGUUCAAACUUUAUGUCCCAGAAGUUACAGUGUAAGGGACUCUAGAAUUACAGCGGGGCAAACUUGCUGAGCAGAAUGUGAUUGUUUCUUUGGGUUUUCUGUCAAGAAUACCAGCCAAACAAGAUGACAGCAUAAUAAAUCAGUGAUAAUGCUCUGGUGAACAACGAGCGAUGAUACCUUAAGCUUUUUUUUAAAAAAAAGGAAAAAAGAAAAAAGAAAGAUCAUUUAAAAAAAAGAUCAUUUUCAUUUUUACAUUCAUAUAUCAUUCAUAACACAUUUAGUUAGGUGCAUUUGAUUCAUUUCGAUAAUAGCAUCCUAAUUAUUUGACAUCAGCAUUACAGCUAGUUAGGAGCAUUUGAUUCAUUUCGAUCAUAGCGGCCUAAUUAUUUGACAUCAGCAUCACAUCUAGUUAGGAGCAUUUGAUUAAUUUUGAUCAUAGCAUCCUAAUUAUGUGUCAUAAGCAUCACGUCUAAUUAGGAGUAUUUGAUUCAUUUUGAUCAUAGCAUCCUAAUUAGUUGGCAUAAACAUGAUACGUGAAACCGAGUCUACAGGACAGGUCCAAGAGGACGGUGUAGUAACAUCGGUGAAGUCAGAUCUUAUAUCCCUGAAGUUGCAGCGGAAUAGAUCAAAGAUUACAAACAUUAUCUCCCUGAAGUGGCAGUGGAGUAGGUUUAAGAUUGCAGGUCUUAUUUCUCUAAGUAGUAGUGGAAUAGACCAAAGACGACAAAUCUUAUCUCCAUGUAUCGGCAAUGGAGCAGAUUUAAGCCUCAAGCCUUAUCUCUCUGAGGUAGCAAGAGAGCAGGUUGAAGAAUGAGUCUUAUCUCUCUGAGGUAGCAAGGAAGCAGACUGGGAAUUGUAGAUUUUAUCUCCCUGAAGUUGCAGUGAAGCAGAUCUUCGCAAAUGGCUUGUAACACCCCUUACCCGUACCCGAGGCCGAGAUAAGGUAUGAGGUGUUACCGAGACAAACAUACAAACAUUGAACUAAAAUAAAGGCCAUAAAAUUUCAUUCAUAUUUCAAAACGUUCAUUCACUUACACAUAGUCCCUUAUUUGAGUCUACGGAGCCCAAAACAUACUUUAGAAAGGGUUUGGGACUAAACCGAGAACUUAUGAAAAUCUUGAAAAUUUGAUGCUUUAAGGUUCCACACGCCCGUGUCCCAAAGUCGUGUUCCAUACAUGGCUGAGACACAUGGUCGUGUCUCUGCCUGUCUGGAAUAUACCUAGGCUAUUUUCCAAGCUUUGGUCAACCUUAAUCUCUUACACACUUAUACAUUUAUACCAAGAUUAUCAUCUUACCAAAUAUCUUUAGCUUAAUCAUCAAGCAUUCAUAUUUAAAGCUAGAUCAUAUCUUUAUAAAAUACCACAAUUCAGAUGCGCAGAAUAACAUGUUUGCCUGAAACAUUUCAAUUCAACUCCAUACCCAACAAGCAUUACAUUGAGACUAGUCAUAUAUAUAUAUACAUGUCAUGAUACAUACAUUCUCUUUCUGUUUUCUUAUAAACACAUAUCAUUUAUUUCAUUAUAUCAAUAUUUCAUAUACCAUAGUUUCCAUGUAUUCCACAUAUAUUUAUUUUCCUCAUCCUCCUCUCCAUUCCACAUCCUUAAUGUAUAUAGCAUUCUUGUAAGUACGAUUUCACAAUUUACUAAUAAAUACUCACAACAAACUGUCCACACGAGUCAUAGUCACUUACUUAUUUAUAAUUCGAGCUACAGAGCUCCAAAUUAAGAUCCGUAAAUUUCCCCUGAAACUAGACUCACAUAUCUUUCUAUCAUAAAAUUUUCAUAAUUUUUGGUUCAGCCAAUUAGUACAGUUUAUUCAUUAAAUUUCCCCUAUUUCACUUUUUGACAGUUCUGACCUCUCUUCACUAAAAAUUAAGUAUCUCACAGUACAGAACUCGAAUAAUGUUCUUGUUGAUUUAUCUUGAUAAUAGACUCAUUAAGGAUUUUAAAAAUAUAAGUUUGAGCUUCUAAUUAUUUUUUUCCAAAUUUUUGUGAUUUUCCAAAGUCAGAACAGGGGAUCACGUAAUCAUUCUGAACCAGUCUCCCAAAACAUAAAUAUCUCAAAAUAUAGAACUCCUUUUCUUGCUCUGUUUCUUUUAUAUGAAACUCAUUGAGUUUUAAUUUGAUAUCUCAUUCAGUCUCUAAUUCAAUUUCUACUAUUUUUGGUGAUUUUUAAAAAUCACGUCACUGCUACUGUCCAAAACAGUUUUAUUGCUAAUUCACUCUUUCACACUUUCUUUGUAUUAACCUCAUUUUAACAUACAUAUCACAAAUCAUUUUCACCACAUUUCAUACAUCACGAGUAUGGGCCCAUGAUUACAAGGUCACCAUAAAAUCAUCCUCAUGUGUAAUUUACUUGUUUAUAACCUUACCACAUCCCGGUCACUUAAUGUACACAUCAUUCACAUAACCAAGUUCCUGCACUUAUUCAUCACAAAACUCACAAAGCAAUACAUAGAGAGUCUCCCGCUGAACACUUCUGAUCAAUCCUCGAUACUUAGUGGUUUUAGAACAUAGCUCCACCCAUCAUAUAGUUCGGCUCUCUUGUACAUAUGGUAAACACUUAGUACCACCCAUGUGACCUAGCCAGUUUAUCUCGUAGCUCUCUUGUCUACAUGGUGUACACAUAGUAUCACCCAUGCGACCUAGCUACAUCAUAAUGUCUUGUAGCUCUCUUGUACACAUGAUGUGCACUCAGCACCAUACAUGUGACCUAGCUACAUACCAUCAGUAUCAUCCAAUCUUUUCGAAGGUUCAACCGGGAUUUCUCUCUCUUUUCCAACAAUUUCACCAAUCAAGUAAUUAUCAACAAACAUAUUUCCAACAUUAUUAUAAAAUAUCAUAAUACAAGUAAAAUUGAUGUAUUACUUACAUAUAAACUUACAUCUCAUUUAAUAUCAAGGUAAUAACAUUAAAUUACACAUUGCCUUAUUAAAAAUCAUAUGAACUUACAAUUUCUCAUAAUAUCCAUAAUCAUAGAAAUCACAUUUAUGUAUGAUAAUUCAAUGCACUUCAUGAACCAUAGACAUAUUUUUAAAUCAAUUCAUAAACUGGACACCAUAACAUUUAAUUUAACAUAAUUCAAUUAAUUCACUAAAUUUAACUUUCAAAUAUAAAUUACAGCAUUAUUGCUGUAUUAUUAUCACACCAACUUACAUACUUUAACACCUCGGAAAUCAUAGGAAAUAUAUCAAUUUUACAUUGAAACAUGCAUAAAUUAAUGCUUAUUAUACAUAUGAACUUACCUCGAUACUAAAACGGCCAUUUUACCAACUUUCUCAAUUUUCAAUUUUUCUCUCAUUCUAGGUUCAAAUCUCAGUUUUCCGAGAUCUAAAACAUCAUAUUUUACUUAUUUAAUUAAUGUACUAUUCAAAACAGUCCUUAACUCAAACUUUGGAAAAAUUACAAUUUUGCCCCUAAACUUUUGCAUAUUUACACUUUUUCCCCUAGGCUCGGGAAUUAAACUUCAUCCCUUAUUCUUAUGUUUUAUGACAUGCUGAUCACUUUUCCCUCCUAUGGCAACAUCAAAUUCUCACUCUAACAUAUACUUAUGACUAUUAGGUAUUUUUACGGAUUAAGCCCUUUUACUCGUUUUCACUCAAAACCGAGUAGCACAAGUUGUCUAACAUAAUUUAAAACCUCAUGUUCUAUCAUAAAACAUCAAAAUAAACACAUUUCACCUAUGGGUAUUUUUCCAAAUAUGAACCCUAGCUUAAAUUAUUGCUAGAAUAAGCUUAAUCAAAUUACCGGGAUUCCAAAAACGUAAAGAACUUGAAAAACGAGGUUAGAACGGACUUACUAUUGACGUUGGAAAGCUUGAAAACCCUAGCCAUGGCUUCCCCCAUGCUAAUUUCGGCCUCCAUGAAAAAGAUGAGUCAAUUUUGGCUUUAUUUUCCCUUUUUAUUUCUUUUAAUUACCAAAUGACCAAAAUGCCCUUCCUUACUAAACUUUCAAAAAUUCCAUCCACGUCCAAAUUUUUUCCAUAACUUAGAAAUUGGUCAAAUUUCUAUUUAAGACCUCCUAAUUAAUAUUUCAAAGCAAUUUCAUACUAGAAACUUCUAGAAUGCAAGUUUUGCAACUUAUUCAAUUUAGUCCCUAACUUCAAAUUGAGCACUUUAUGCAUAGAAUUUCUUCACGAAAUUUUCACAAAAUCAUGCAAUCAUAUCAUAAACCUCAAAAUAAUCAUAAAAUAAUUAUUUCUAUCUCAGAUUUUGUGGUCCCAAAACCUCUGUUCCAACUAGACCCAAUUUUGGGCUAUUACAUGGCUAAUCUUAUCUCCAUGUAUCGGCAAUGGGGCAGAUUUAAGCCACUAGCCUUAUCUCUCUGAGGCAGCAAGAGAGAAAGUUGAAAAUUGUAGUCUUAUCUUCCUGAGGUAGCAAGGAAGCAGACUGAAGAUUACAGAUCUUAUCUCCCUAAGCAGUUGCGGAGCAGAUUGAGGAUGGCGAAUCUUAUCUCCAUGUAUUGGCAAUGGGGCAGAUUUAAGUCACCAGUCCUAUUUCCCUAAGGUUACAGUCAAGAUUCAGCAAAACCGGGCAAAAUUGGCCCUAUUUAAAGUCUUUGCUCUAUUCUCGUUACACGUUAAUGAGCAAAGAGGGGCAGUUGUAAGACCCAAUUUGUGCCCGGGUUUACACAAACUAAAAAACAAAUCAAAAUAUAAAUAAUAAUAAUAAUAAAGUCCAAUGUCCAUUUCUUACAUAGCCCAACAACCAAAAAUAACGGGCUCAAAUUAAAAAACCUAAACCUAACAAAAUACAUAGCCCAAUGGCCCAAAUAAUCCAAGCUUCAGUUUUAGAAAAUGAAACCCUAAGUCAGUAGCCUCGUGUCGCAGCCUUCACGAGUGACCUCGCUACAUCACACGUGCACCUCCAUUCCACUAUGUCAACGAAACCUGGGAGAAGGAAAAUAAAUAGCAAAGGAAUGCACGAGAGAGAAGCUAACAGAAUUUACAGCGAUUGACAACAAGAAAAUGUAAUUUUAUUUUUUAUUUACUCUGUAAAUUCGGCUAUAAAAAGCCGACUAAUGUACCUGCAAAGGAGGCAUAUUACGCACACUGUAUGCAUACACACAUACAAUAUAUAGAUACUGAAUAGAAAAGUUUAAAAGCAUUUUUGAAAAGGUGAUUUUCUUUAGUCUUUUUAACUCUUCUGUUAUUUUUUAUAUAUUUUCUUGCCAUUGUUUUCAUCAACUGUGUUUUAAAAUAAAGAGGAGAGAAAUGCAAGUCUCACCUUGCGAAUCGGCCACCGAUCUCCGUUCACUUCGUUGAGAUCGAAGUAGAAAGGGGAUCCAAAGGCAACAUCUAUUACUGCUGGUGCGCCAUUGACCACCAAAUGAAAUGGUGGAUUCGACAGAUGCAGAAAACCCAAGCAAAUUGUUUUUUGGGGGUUGUUAAUUAAAAAAUGGCUGAACUAAAAGAAGAGAAAAAGGCAUUAAAACCUUUGUAGAAAGUGGUGCUGUUUGAAAUGGAAAAGUCCGUGUGUAAACCCGAUGCAAAAGUCGGAUCUGUGCUCUUUUUAUGUUAAAUGGGCUAUUUGCACAUCUGAUCCUUCCCCCAUAUGUCAAUCUUCAAUCGGAUCCAACCUAUGCUACAUUUAUUUUUUUAUUUCAUCUGGGAAUUUGUACACUAUUGCGAUUUGAUCCAUAGCUAAAUUCAGCGUUUUGAAAAUUUGCACGUCUGAUCCUUCCCCCAUAUGUCAAUCUUCAAUCGGAUCCAACCUAUGCUACACUUAUUUUUUUAUUUCGUCUGGGAAUUUGUACACUAUUGCGAUUUGAUCCACAGCUAAAUUCAGCGUUUUGAAAUGAAAAUUAUUUCCAAUUCUGGUCCUUAUACAUUUGCAAGCAUGACGCCUAAGUCCCUAUUUUGAUUUUAAUACUUUUAUUUUUAAAAUUUCCUUCUCAUUUUAACUCAAUUUUAAUUUAGUUUUAUUUGUAUAGUCUACCAUACAUUCAACGUUGUACAUGUAUUAGCUUAAUUGAGAUUUUAAUUUAUGAUGCAUAUUAUUUAAAAUUCGUUUAAUUUUUUUAAAAUUAAUUUGAUCUUUGUUAACAGCUUCUUCUAUAUUUUAUUUGCAAUUAGGUUAUAGUUUUUUUUAUUUUGCAUAACCUUUAACUCAAAAUUUUUUUAUUUUGGCAGCUAUAUUAUUAAAAUCAAGUCUUCUGUUCACUAUGAUUUUGAGAAUUCAUUUGGUUCUUCAUAUAUAUACAUGCUAAAUUAUGUUUCUCACUUUAUAUAACUAUUAUUUUGAAGCUAUUUUACAUUAUAUUGUUUUAAUAAUUUAUAUAAUAUUUUUUUUAAUAUUUUUGUGUAUAUUUGUACAUAUAUUAUUUUAAUGGUUUUUUUGUAUUUAAAAUACUUAUUGUUUUAAAAUUCAUUUAAAUAUGUAUGUAAGGUUAUUUGGGAAAUUCAUUUUUGUGUUUACAAAAUUAGUAUUUUGAAACGCUUCUUUAUGUUAUAUUAUCUUAGUGUUUUAUUUAGUAUCUCUUCUAAAUGUUUUAAGUAUAAUAGUAUGUAUAUAAUUUAUAAGAUAAUCUAAUUUUAUAUGUAUUAUUAAUUUCAUAUUUUGUUUAUAUAAAUAAUUAUUCCUAUAUCAUAUGUGCAUGUCUCAAAAGAAAAUCUAUUAUGUGUACUAUACCUUGCCAUGUAUUAUUAUUUCUUCAUAUUUAAUAUAUUAUUUAAGUUAUCAUUAAGCAUAUAUUUUUGUAUUUAUAUUUAAUUUACAUACAUUAUUAAAACCAUGAUAUUUUUAAAUAUAUAGUUUUUUUUAAGUUUGUACCUAAUUAUUUUUAUUAAAUGCAUAGUAUGUGAUAAAAUUAAGUUAAUUUUACAAUUCAUAUUUUUAUUUCAUGAUAUUCUAACAUUUAAUUAUUUCUAAAAUAUAUGUAUAUAACCCAUAUUAAAUUAUUUUAUUAUAGUCUACAUUAUUGAUUUCAAAUUAAUAUUUCUUUUACGUAUAUAUAUAGUUUUUUCUCUUUAAAAUUAUUCAUGUGUAUAAUGCGUUUCUUUUAAGAACUAUAUUUUAAGUCGUACCAUUUAUUUAUUGUAUAUAUUCUCAUAUUUUAUUAUCCUUAUACAUGUAUUAUUUUCAUCAAUCCAAAUCAAGUUGUUAUAUAUAAAAUUAUGUUAUAUUUUGUUUUAAAUUUCCCUUUAUAAAUAUAGUUUUAUAAAUAUACAUCACUAAAUUUAUGUAUUUUGUAAAUAUAAUUUUCUUUGUCAUGUACACUCUAUCCUAUCAUGUUUUUUCUUUUUUCUUUUAUAUGUUAUUUAAGCAACCAUGCAUAUUAUCAAUUUUUAAAAUUUGUGUUUGAAAUGUUUUGCAUAUUAUUCGAUUCAAAUGUUUAUUCUACUAUAUUUAUGUCAAAUAAUUAUAUAUCUUUAGUUUUCAUACCAAUUUGUCAACUUAUUUUAUGUGUUAAUUAAUUCAUCAUUAUUUUGAAAAUGCCCUAUACUAUGCUAAGUUCUAAUUCCAUUUCAUUUUGUACAUAUUUUAUGGAUCAUUUUAUAUUAUGUCCUGUUAAUUAUUGUUGUAUAUCAUUUUUGUAUUGAUUGUUCGUCAUCUAUGAUUAAGAAUUUGGUCAUUUUACUUAGAAUAAUUGUACAUAAUUAUGGAUUUGUUAAUUGCGACUUGUUGUAUCCUAUUAUUUCAUGCUCAUUAACCCUUUCUCAUACAAAUGUUUUGAUACAAUGAAGCAUUCCAAUUUAAAAUGGAUAAACGUGUUUUGAGCAAAUUUCCAAUUUUCUUUCUCAUUCAAAAAUUCUGAAAUAAGGCCAUAUCCAAUAUUAGGGGAGUUCGGAAAAUCGUGCUCAAUCAUACUGGGUAUGAUUUUUUCGGUAAAUUAAAUAUUGGGAUAACCUUUUAUAAUUUUAGUUUACGAGUUUUCAAAAGUCAAAAAUCAAUCACGUUUUAAAGGUAUAAGGGAUCGUAUCCAAUCAUGCUGAGUAUGAUACUGCAUAUCUUUGAAACGAGAGAAUUUUGACCAUUAAUUUAAACUAUUUGAACAUUUUAAAAAAGAAUCAUACUUUGGGAAAUCUUUUCUUUAAAAGGCCUUUUGGCAUAAGGAUAGCAUCAAAGCAAUUUGGUACCAAUUUUUGGGCGUAAUGAGGGUGCUAACCCUUCCUCAUGCGUAACCGACUCCCGAACUCACUUUUUUGAUUUUACAUGAAUAAAGCGUUUUAGUAGGUGGCCCAAUCACACCUAAAUCAAGAGAUUGGUGGUGACUCCACAUUUUUGUUUUCAAAAGUCGAUCCCCAUUGUUUUCAAAAUAAAAAGGGUUUCGACAGUAACUAACUCGGUUUUUGAUAAUUUUUACAUUUUUGAGAUCGUUGCAAUGUAAUGUGCAAAGCCCAUGCUUGAAUUUCUGAUUUUGAUGAAUAUUUGAUUUUUUUAUGUUAGUUGAUGAAUUCUGAAAGAUAUGUUUUGGAUUAAUAUGUUUUGUAUUGGAAUUUUUGAUAAAUUUGAGUAAUUAGGGCUAAAUUGUAAAAAUAAUAAAUUGAAGGACUAAAAUGUGAAAGAAAUGAAAUGUAUGACUUGUAUGAGCAUAAGGAAGAUUUGGCCUAAGCAUGGUGUGUGCAAAAUUUGCAUGUUUUGUGUUUAGUGCAAUUUGGACUAAAUUGUAAAAACUAAAAAAUGCCAGGGUAAAAUGAUAAUUUUCCCAUUUAUGUGUUUUUGGACUAAAUUGGAUGAAAUUAUGUUUGAAUGAGUUUAAUUUGAAUAUGUUUAGAUCAAGAACUAAAGAAAUCGGAUUUGGAUCGGGGGAAAACCAAAGUUGUCGAUUAGUAGUCCCGUUCUGAUUAUCGUUGUCUAAGGUAAGUUUAUAAGCAAAUAGAUGUUGUUAAUUUUAAAUAAAUAUGAGUUUUAUAUGCUGAAAUGAAUUAUGAGAAAAUGUAUAUAUGAAAGCCGAAUGUUAAUAUGCUUGAAAGCUAUGUGUACGAGUUCAAUUCGACCGAGUUACGGCGUCCAAAAGCCUUGUACGAACCUUAGGAAUAGCUAGGAAACAUAUGUCAUGCCAUAGGAAUUUUGAUAUGUGUUCUCGUGUAAAACCACGUCUGGGACGUUGGCAUCGAUAUAUGUGGUUACAUAUAAGACUAUGUCUAGGACAUCGGCAUCGUAUUUGAUUCGUGUAAGACCCUGUCUGGGACAGUGGCAUCGAUAUGUGAUAGCAUGUAAGACCACGUCUGGGACGUUGGCAUUGUAUGAUAUGUGUGAUUAUCCGAGUAUCCUAUUUAAUUCCGAAUGGUUCAACGGGCAAUGAUAAGUUGUGGUCGAAUGUGUAAAAUUAAAUGAUCAGGUAUGAAAUAGUUGAUUACUUAUUUGAAAAGAAGGUAAGUUGGUUAUUUGAAAUGUGAUGCAAAAUUAUACCUUAUGUUAAUGUAAAUACAUAUGUGUAUUGGUGAAGUAUAUUCGGCCACAUGAUAUAUAAAUAAGUUUGAGAUAUUAAAGUUUGAUUUAAGAGUAUAUGCUAUGAGUGUGUAUUUCGGUUAUAUAAUGGUAAUAUGAUUUUGAAAUUGAUUGUUACUUUGGUAAUAGAUACAUGUAUAUACGGCAAAUGUAAAAAUUAUAUAUGAAAGUAUAUGUUUUAUAUGAAAUUGUGAGCUUGAAAUUAAAUGUGAUUAUUGAAGCAUAAAUUGAUUUGGUUAAAUUGAGUUGAUAUUGUCAUUGAGUUAUUGGUUUGCUUAUGACUUACUAAGCUAUGAUAGCUUAUUGUAUGUGUUUAUGUUUGUCUCUGUUUUAUAGAUUUUGGAGGCUAGUUACGAGCUCGGGGAUCGUUAGCAAAGUCUGCCAGACUAUUGAUCAUUUUUGGUAUUUUAUAAGUUUUUGAACUUGAACCUAUGGCAGGUAUAGGCUAGAUUAUAUUUGGUUAAGUUUGAAGUUGUGAUAUAUUAAGCCAUGCGAAAAUGGCUAAUAUGUUAUGUGAGUAUAUGAAACUUUAAUCAAGUUUGUAUGUGUUAUAUGCAUUGAAAAUGGUUGAUGAUUUUGGAUGUGGUUUGUUUGAAUCGACCAUGGUAUAUACAUAAGUAUGAAUUAUGUUUGUUAUGUUACUCACGGUUAAAAUGAUUUGUUUAUGUCUUGUAUUUGAUAGUAAUGGUUUAAUUUGGUUGACGAGUGUAUUUGGCUAAAUGUUGAAUUUGGGUAAUGAAUAUGUUUGAUUGAUGGUUCGGCACUUGCAUAUAUAUAUUUAGGCAUAUGAUGUAUUGGUUUGAUAAAUAUAUUAUCUCAAGGUAUAUAUGUUUGAGGUGUUGGUUAUAUGUUUCAGUAAUGAGAAACGUUAAGUAUGAUUUUAUAAAUUUGGCUUAGUAAGAGAUAAAAUAAUGAGUAUAUAUUGUAUGUGAAAUGGCUAUUAGAUUCGUUUGUUAAUUGAAAAUUAAUGAAUGUGUAUAAGUUAAUUUUUGCUAGUCGAAUAGAUAAGAGAGGAAUUGGUCUUGUGUAUGAUAUUUUGGUAUGAUGUAUAACUUGUGAAAUUGACAUGUUUUGAUUUGGCAUUAAUAUUUAUAAAUUUGGUUUAUUAAGUCAUAUAGAAGUGGUAUGAAUUUUUUGUAUGUGCAUUAAUGACCGAAUAGAUGAUGUUGGAAUGGUUAGUAUUAUGCAUAUAAAUUUUAGUAUGUUUUGAUUUGGUAAUUGUGUUCAAAAAUAGUCCAUAUUAAUAUGGUAAUAUUGUAACACCCCAAACCCCGCCCAGACGUUAUGGCCAAAUCCGACGUGCCACAUUAAAGUUAAAAAUCCAUGUCUCAUUUUAGUGUUUUAAAAGUCGACUUUUGUUAAGUUAACAAAGUGAAUAGAAGCUGGGCACCAGGUAGGUAUCCAUAACAGAGGAGGUGAGCCAUGAAGGUUGCUUAAGUACCAAGCUCUUCGAUUGGAUCCAAUCCUAGACAUGCCCACAACCAUUGCCACACUUGGUUAUAACGAGUUGAAAUUUCUUUGAGUGGAUAUCUUUGAUAAAUCGCAUAAUCGUAACGUUGUGUUAUUUUGAAAACAAGUAUCAUUUUGAAAACGUGCCCUAGGUCUAGCCCAUUUGAAUUAUUAUCGACCAGUUUAAAGUUAUUAAAAAUAAAAUAAUCCCUGAAAAGAGAAGAAAACAAAGUUAAAAUGGCCUUAUUACAACCCAAAAAUAAGUAGUAAAUAAGAUAAACUAAAGAAAACCAGUCACUUAUUUCAAAGCCCAAAAGCGAUCACCAUGGCCACUCUGAAUCCCUUCCAACUCCAAGUCCCCAAAUCAAGGCUCACCUACAACGUUAGGAAGGGGGUGAGUUUGGAAACUCAGUGUGCAACAAGCCCCUUUUAAAGCCCAAAACAAUAUCAGCCCGCUGGGCCUAAGCCCAACUUCAAUCUCAACAUAUACUGGGCCGAAGCCUUUGCAUUAUUCAUGUCACUGGGCCAAAGCCUUUUCAUUAUCAUAUCACUGGGGCGAAGCCUUUACUGUAAACGGUAUGGCCCAUAGGCCCAAAUCAAUACCACAUGCAUUAUUAAUGGAUGUAUGCAAGCCCAUUUGGGGAGACUACUCAACCCACCAACCGCUACUCUCCACCCGUACCAACCAAGCUCUCCAUGUGGGGAAUAACUCAACCCACCCAACCAAACUCUCCACUGGUAGCAUAGCUACUUUAUCAUAUAACUGGAGGCCUAGCCUCUUUUAAUAACAGGGGCAAAGCCCUUUUUGAUAAACUGGGGCAAAGCCCUUUUCGGUAAACUGGGGCAAAAGCCCUUUUCCACUUCCUCCAUCCAUAUAAAACCCAACCCAUGCAUAAAUGAAUACAUUAUGUGCAUAUCAUACAUAUCAUGCGCAUAUCAUGUCCAAUCAUGUAUAUCAAAGUCUCAUGCAUCAAACUCAUAAUUAAACCCUAGGGGUAUAAUGGUCAUCUUUACCUAGGGGCAAAACAAUCAUUUUCCAUAUUAUAAGGGUAAUUUUGUAAUUUUACCAAAAUAUCAGGGUUUCCAUGUUCAUUAACCAUUACCAAUCACUCCAAGUGUUUAAACAAUGAUUUUAACGCACUUUACCAAAUUCGGGCUUUUGGACCCAAACCCCUAAUGGGCCCUACGAAUGUCGAUUUAGUCACCUAGGCCCAUUUAGCUAUAUUCCACAACGGUAUUAACAGUCUUAAUGUGCAAUUUUACAGGAUUCCAUUUUCUACCAAAUUUACCCGAAUGGGCCCGGAAGCCCAUUGGGCCCGAUUUUAGCCCCUCGAGGCCCAACUUACCAUCGUGCACAAAAUCGUGCCCUUACCUGUUCCAACGAUCCCAAUCAUCGAACUUAGCGAAACUAACUAACCUAUGAGCAGUUGCGUGCUCACGAGUCCUCGAAAUACCAGAAUUUCGGCAUUUCAGCUUUUUGGCAUAUAGCGAUUUAAGCUACGAAAAAGGGUUCGUUACAUACCUGAUUUGCGAUAUUCCUUGACGAGAUCUCCCACGGCAACCUACAAUUAUAUACCUCCAUUUUUAGUGUACAAAUCAUACUUAUCAAACCCAAAAUCUACCUUACCACAUUCGGCCAAAGACUUCUAAUGGCCAUAGUUCACUUACCUUCACAAGGUUUAACGAUAUGAUCCAAGCCUAUCCAAAUCGACACCCCACACCUUGCUGCUCCUCCAACGUAUCUACUCCACUAUACAAACCAUAAAAAUUCAAAAGAAAAAGCCCAAUAAGGGUUAUAUCCCUAAUCGGCCACCUCCCUAAACUAUAGGGGUUUCGACUUUUGUCAACAGUUACUACUGAAUCAGUUUAUAGCACGAAUACUUACUACAAUCUCCCUCAUUGAACCAUUUAAAACUUAGAAGAUAAAGGGAUUGGCCACCAAAACGUGAAGGGAAAAGGAAGGUUGCUGGUCAAUAAAGAAUCGGCACCACCAAGCUUCACAGGUUCGGCUUUUUGCGGCUUUUCGGUAGAUGUGGAGGUAGGGAAAGAAGUAGUAGGUGAACGGAAGGAGGUAGUGAGCUAGUUUUGGAGAAAAGAAAAGGAAGGAAUGCUGGAUGUAAGGGUGGUAGAUUCAGCUAGAGGAGAAGAAAGAAAAAGAAAAGACUAAUCUAAAGAAGAAAACGGCAUAACCUAAGUCCCUAAUGCCGAAAAUACUUACCUAAUACCCCUUUGCCGAAAUCCCCUCUCGAAUCCCCUCUAUUCGGCUAACUCUAUCUCCCUCUCAAAUCCCUAAAAUCUCUCCCCUUAUCCCUCCUUUAAUCCAUACGUUUGACUAAUUCAAACUCUCUCCCACAGAGUUCCAUUCGGCUACAACUCCUGCAUGCUCAAAGUAUAAAAAUUAACAUCACACUUGCCAUCACAGGGAAUCGAACCCAGGCUUUCCUCUUGCAAUGACCCGUACCCGAGACUGUCGCCGGAGUCGAACACGAGGUGUUAACAGACUUAAUUCAUUACUUAAAUAGCUCAAAUAAUUUAUUUUUAAAAUUUUCAGUCAAGCUAGCAAUCUGCAUCACAGUCGCUUAAAAAUUCAUAUCUCAAGUUCCAAAACUCUAAAUCUAGAUCUGUAAAUUUUCCCUGAAACUAGACUCAUAUAUAUAUUUACUAAUUUUUUUUCUAGAAUUUUUGGUUGAGCAAAUUAGUACAGUUUAUUAGUUAAAGUCUCCCCUAUUUUAGGGUUUGACUGCUCUGACCACUGUGUAUUACGAAUCAGAUAUCUCCGUGUACAGAGUUUCAAUGACUAUGCCGUUUGUCUCUAAUAAAAAUAGACUCAAUAAGGAAUAUGUACAUAUAAAUCAUGACUUCUAAUUAUCUUUUAACAAUUUAUGGUGAAUUUCCAAAGUCAAAAUAGGGGAUCCAGAAAUCGCUUUGGCCCUGUUUUACAAAAAUUUAAACAUCUCAUAAAAUAUAACUCAUAUACCUGUUUUGUUCCAUCCAUAUGAAAAUAGACUCAUAAUUAUUAAAUUCCAUAUUUAUUCAUCAUCUAAUUGUAUCUAUACUAUUUUUAAUGAUUUUUCAAACUCACGUCACUGCUGCUGUCUGAAUCUAUUUUAUGGUAAAUUUUGCCUAUUUCAUGGGUUCCAUGAAUUAGCUAGCAAUUUAGCAUACAUAACACCAAAUAUGAUCAUGAUUAGUCAUUCCAAUGGCUAAUCAUUACCAAGCAUUUCCAUACCACUCAAUAACCAUAUCAUAAGACCAUAUAUACAAAAUGAUUAUAAUGCUAUACAUGCCAUACUCAAAAUAUGCAAGCCAUUAUGCCAAGACGGUAUACGGAUAGUGUGAGCAUGCCUCCGAUCAUUCCCAAUUUCCGAGCUGGCUUGUCAACACUACAAGGAAUGAAAAGGAGGAAGUAAGCAUAAAUGCUUAGUAAGCUCACAUGCAAAUAGCAAGUAACACAACUAUAUAAGCAAACAUAAAACAUCAUUUGCAUAAUCAUCACCGAGACAUUCAUAUCACAUUUUCAUUUAUCAUCUUACCAUAUUGUUGUUAUAUCGAGUUUUCAACCCGAGGGUUAAGUACAUACCUGUUCAAAGUAUUCAUUUCACAAAACUUACCAAUACGUCCCUUUCAUCUCGAGUAUUCCUCCAUUUGAGUAGAAUUUUACCCGUUGAACACAUCGGAAUAUAAUUCGGAUACAUGGAAAGUUUGCACAUAAGUGCCACAUAUGUAGCCAAGCUACCAUGUAACCCGCCCGUAAGUGAACUCGGACUCAACUCAACGAGCGCGGGCGUUCGCAUCCAUAAGUGAACUCGGACUCAACUCAACGAGUUCGGACAUUCGCAUCCAUAAGUGAACUCGGACUCAACUCAACGAGUUCGGAUGCCCAAAUAUCCUAGUGACAUGUCACUUGUACCCUAAUCUAUUCCUAAGGUUCAAACGGGAUUUUCCUCGAACACAUCUCCAUGCCAUCUUACGUAAAAUACCGAAACCAAUACUCGGUAGCACUUUAUAUUUAACAAAUAAUUCACAUAAUUUGCAUUUUAUUCGAAAAUAACCACAAAGCAUAUAUUUCAUGAUAAAAAUCAGCAUAUCAUAUAAUUAACAUCAAUAACUUAAAAAUAACAAUUAUACUACAUUAUUUACACACGAACUUACCUCGUAUGCGAAAAUGGCUAUUUUUACCAUUUCGUCCACAACUUGGUAUUUUCCCCAUUUUAGCCCGAAUUUCAGUUUUCCUUGCUCUAUCAUUUAAAAUAUAGUCUAAUUAGGACUCACAUUAUUCAAAUUGACCCAAAAUCAUAUUUUGGAAAAAUUACAAUUUUGCCCCUAAACUUUUGCAUAUUUACACUUUUGUCCCAAAGCUCGUAAAUUAAACUUCAGCCUAUUUUCUUAUGUUUUAUGACAUGCUGAUCAUUUUUCCAUUCUAUGGCAACAUCAAAUUCUCACUCUAACAUGUACUUAUGACUAUUAGGUAUUUUACCGAUUAAGCCAUUUUGCUCGUUUUCACUUAAAAUCGAGUAGCACAAGUUAUCUAACAUAAUUGAAAACCUCAUACUCUAUCAUAAAACACCAAAAUACACAAAUUUCACCUAUGGGUAUUUUUCCAAAUAUAAACCCUAGGUUAAAUUAUUGCUAGCAUAAGCUAAAUCGAGCUCCCGGGACUCCAAAAACGUAAAAAUCAUUAAAAACGAGGCUAGAACGGACUUACAAUCGAGCUUGGAAGCUUGAAAAACCCUAGCCAUGGUUUCUCCUUGCUAUAUUCGGCCAUGGGGUUGAAGAUGAGCAAAAUUGGCUUUUAAUUUUGUAUUUUAAUUCAUUUUACCCCUAAAUGAACAAAAUGCCCUUACUACUAAACUUUCCAAAAAUUCCAUCAAUGUCCAAUUUUUGUCCAUAGACUUAGAAAUUGGUAAAAUUACUCUUUAAGGACCUCUAAUUAAUAAUCUAAUUCAAUUUUAUGCAAAAUUCUUCUAGAACACAAGUUUUGCAAUUUAUUCAAUUUAGUCCCAAAUUUCAAAUUAAGCACUUUAUGCAUAAAAUUUCUUCACGAAAUUUUCACACAAUCAUGCAAUCAUAUCAUAGACCUUAAAAUAAUCAUAAAAUAAUUAUUUCUAUCUCAGAUUUUGUGGUCACGAAACCACUAUUCCGACUAGGCCCAAAAUCAGGAUAUUACACCUCCUACCACUUACACGCCACCUUUUUAGCUCCUUAGUGGCGUCACUUAGCCACUUUACCAGAGGCUCUCUUGUGAUACAUUUUAUCCACAAAUUUUAAUAAGACCACCUAUCCAAAGCCCCUAACUUCUUAAGUCCAAAAUUCAAAAAUUCUACUGGGUUUUGGCCAUCACAUGGGCCUUCCAUAAGCCUAUUUACACACUCCAAUUAUGAAUUUCACAACCAUAUACCAAAUUUUAAAAAUUUACCAAAAUCUCACGAAUCAAGGAAAAACCCGAAAAUCAGGAUGUUACAAAUAUGCACAUGAAAUUGCUAUGUAAAAGAAGUAUAUUUGGCCAUGUUGUAAUACUAGCUAUUAUCUUUUCUGAUAAUGAAUAUUACACUAUGAUAUAAGGUGAUAUGGUAUAAUAUAUGAAUGUAUAUUGAUUAUGUUUUCAAAAGCCCAUGCCACAUAUAUUUUAUAUGACUUUGAAUUUUUUUAUUGAUAUUUUUAUUAUGAUUUAAAUUAUGUGUUUAAUGUUGAAAUAGAUUUAUGUUUUUGUUAUGUGAAUAUAACAUAUAUGUAUAUGUGAAUGUUUGAAAUUUUGUGUCUCGUCCAGUAAUUCCUCGUAACCCCAUUCCGGCCAUGGAUACGGGUUAGGGGUGUUACAAUAUAUCAUUGCAUUAUUUACACAUGAACUUACCUCGGUACAAAAUAGAGAUAAUGUAUACGAUUUAGUCCAAAAUCUUAUUCUUUCCCCGGUCUACGUCAAGACUCUGUUUUUCUUGAUAACCAAGCUUGAAAUUUGAACAAAACCCUAGCUAUGAUGUCUUGAGAGUUUCGACCAAGCAUGAAGAAGAUGAGCAUAUUUUUUCUUUGAUUCUCCCUUUUUAUUAUUUUAAUUACCAAAUGACCAAAAUGCCCUUAGGGUCUUUCUUUAAAAUUUUUCCCACACAUGUCUAUUUUUGUCCGAACUUUUAACAAUUGGUUAAAUUGCUAGUUAGGACCUUCUAAUUUAUAAUCUAAAGCAAUUUCAUGCUAAAAGCUUCUAGAAUACAAGUUUUGCAUCCUAUUCAAUUUGAUCCUUAAAGCUCAAUCGGACAUUUCAUGCAUAGAAUUUCUUCAUGAAACUUGCACACAAGCAUGCAAUCAUAUCAUAGACCUCAUGAAAAUCAUAAAAUUAUUAUUUGUAUUUUGGAUUCGUGGUCUCGAAACAACGAUGUUACAAUGAUUGGGUAAAUGUUGGUCUUAAAAAUAGCUUGUUUAAGGUCAAAUUAUGGAGCACACGGCCUGGGACAUGGGCUGUCACACUACAGUGUGAUACACAUGGCCUGGCUCGAUAAUAAUGUGUCACUUAUUAUUUCAUUUCAGUGAGUUACACGGUCUAGCACACAGCUUACGGCACAGCCGGGUGGCCCAACUUUGAGAGUUACAUGGUUUAAAACAUGGGCUGGGACACGGCUGUGUGUCCCUUUAUUCGAAUACGGCACGGUAUGGGCUAUGUCACAUGACUGUGUGACCCUUGAUUUCAAAGUGUACAAAUUUUUUUGUAAUUUUCUAAAUUGUGCAGAAUUAGUCACAAAUUGUUUUUGAACUAUUUUAGGGCCUUGAGGUGUAAUUCUCUGUAACCGUAAAUCAAUGACGAAGAUGGGUUAAGGGUGUUACAAUAAGAAUAAUAGUAGAGUUUUAGUUGCUUUGUACUUUGUUUAAAGUUUUCAAUGUAGGAACCCAACAUAAAGGAGACACAACAAUUUGAGCUAUUAACGAACAAAGGAGAAAGUACCCACCAAUAGCAGUUGGAACAACCACGAUCAAUCAGGUAACUUCUUUCCUUAUCUUCUUUAUGGCUACACAUUGAAGACAAUGUGUUAACUAAAGUGUAGGGGGUAACAUAGAAAAUUAGUUUUAGAUUUACAUUUUUCUUUGAGUUUUCAUGUCAUUUGUGUGCUUGAGCUUGUAGAAAUACAAGUGAUUGGUUAGGAACAUGUACAUAGGCUGCUUGCGGCUACAAAUAAAUUUGGCAUGAUGAUAGGUGAUUUUAAUUUUUUUAUCAUUAGACUACUAAGUUCUAUAUAUUACUCUGGAAAUAGGAAUUAAGCAAUUAACUGUACCAAAUGAUUUAGAAAGUGCAAGGAAACGGGCAUGCUAGUAUGAAUGAUAAAUUGUUUAAUUGGAGUUUUUUUGGUUGAUUAAAGUUGUGCAUAUUGAGAUAUUUAGGGAAUGACCUAAGACACUAUUUGGAACAUAUCUAGAGCCAAAAAGCUGACCUAUAUUUUUUCACCUUUAGUACCGAUUUGAGCCUGUUAACACUUCUUAAUGAACCUCAUUACAAAACUCGAGCCUAAAAUGUUAAUUUGUAUUUGCCAUUUUUUCUUUGAUCCUAGACAUUUGGCCAUAUGUAUUGAGGGUUAAGUAGAUACAUCAUGGUGAAUUUUGUAACACCCUUAAUCCAUAUCCAUUGCCGGUGUAGGGUUACAGAGCAUUAUUGUAAAAACGUAACUUUAAAACAUACAUCUCAAACAUUAACAUAAACAUAGCAUAAAUCAUUCAUUUAGAUGCAUAUCAUCCCUUAAUUGAGUCUUCAGGGCGUUAGAAACAUUUUACAAAUAAACUAAAUUGAAAACAUUGGGAAUAUUUAAGAAAAAGUUGGACAAACUGAACUGCAGGGGUCACACGCCGUGUAGUCAGGUCGUGUGACUUACACGGCUGAGACACACGCCCAUGUCUCAGGCUGUGUAACAAUCAAAAUAGGGACACACGGCUAUGUUCUAGCCCGUGUCCAUGCCCGUGUAACUUUCAAAGUUGGAUCAUAUGGCCAAGCCACAUGCUCGUGUGCCAGGACGUGUAACUCUCAAAAUGGCCACACACGCCCCUGUGCCAAGCCAUGUACUAGGCCAUGUAAAUGGCUGACUUGCAAAACUUAAAACCUAUAAAGGACACACGACUGUGUCGCAUGGCUGUGUGUCUCACAUAGCUGAGCCACACGCUCGUAUCUUAGGCCGUGGACAUGAAAUUGGCCAAAUUCAAGUCAUUUCCAUCACCAUCCCAAGCAUGUACUUACAAGAAUUUUGUGAACAACUUCAAAGCUUCAAAACUUUACCAAAACAUGCAUUAAAUGACCAAUUCAAAAGACCAAAUCCAUACAACCAAUAUGCCAUACAAGGCACCUCAAAAGAAAACAUACAACAUACCUAAACAUAUGCAUAUUUGACCAUAUUUCAUUCAUAGACAUCUAAUUCAAUACCUUUCUAAAGCAUAGCCUAUCUUGACCAUUUUGAAACUAUUCCCUCACAUACGAUAUUGGCCAUUAAAACAUGCAUCAAACUUAGCCAUAUUAACACAUACCAACAAGGCAUCAAAAGUACCAAAAGUACAUCAACCCAAAAUAACAUAUACAUGCCAAACUUAUUGUAACACCCCAAACCUGGCCCAGACGUUAUGGCUGAAUCUGACGUGUUACAUUGAAGUGUUUUAGUGAAAACCUUAUUUUCAUUGAAAACCCUUCUUAAAAUGAGAAACUUUAAUUAACUAAAAAAAAACUUUUCAGUUACGAAAACCUUGUUUAAAACAUUUGAUUUUUUUAAAAAAACUUAGUUGCGAAAACGUAGGAAACAUACUAUAAUUUAAGAAAUUCAUGUUCAACUUCUCGUAAAAAAUAAUAAUAAUUCAAGUAAUAAUAACAUAAUAAAAACCUUAUUACAAUCUGAUUUGAACACACUUAAAAAGAAAUAAAAACUUAAUGAGUAAAAAAAAAACCAAGUCUGAAUUAUCUUGCUAGUCGACCACCUUGAGUCCCUCCAAACAUCGACUCUUCUACUGAGCAUCACUUGAAAAUAAAAUAAAAGUGGGGGUGGGUUUUUGCAAACUCAGUGUGUACAACCCUCAAUGAAGAACAAGCAUUCAAAUACAAAUCAUCAAACAUGCAAUGCAAUCCCAUCCAAAUUAUCCAUCCACUACACACCAGCUUCGUCCCCCAUCUCACCAUGUGGGGAUAUAAAUAUCGACCCACCCAGCCCACACACUAAUGGUAGCCCGGUUACGGAACUACCUUCAUUUACAUAGUGGGCUUUAAAAGCCGUCGAUGGAUCCAUGAUUGUCAAGCAACCAUGCAAAUCCUCAUAUACUUCCUCCAUUCCAUAAUUCCCACCCAUAUAAAACCUAAGCAGAACAUCAUAUGUAUGCAUGUCACAUCCCCAAAACUUACAUUCAACACAUAGGGAUAUUUUGGUCAUUUUGCCCUUAGAGGCAUUUCGAUAAUUUUCCCUUAAUUACGGUUUUCACUUACCUUGGCCCAUGAACAAGUCCCGUGAGCUAAGAUGAACGAAUACUAUGCACCAGGUAGGAUUCCAGAGAAGAGGAGGUGGGUCAUUAAGACCGCUUAAGUACCAAGCUCUCCUUAGAUCCAAUCCUAGACAUGCAUAUACCCGUUGCCGCACCUUAACCCUAUGACUUGUCCACAGUCUCAUUUAAUUAAUUAUGUUUUAUGUAGUCAUCAUAUACUAGGCCCAAUACCCCUACAUACAUGCAUAUGGCCCACUAGAACCAAUCUUAUUCAAAUGGCCCAUCUGGCCCAGUUCAUAUUCUUAUGGCCCAUUAGGCCCAAUUCACAUUCAUAUGGCCCAUUAGGCCCAAAUCAUAUUAUAUUCAUGCUCACAUACAAAUUUCCUAACACAUAGCAUCACUUAUCAAUCCUUGCCUAUUAUGGGCCUAAUAGCCCAUUAAGCCCAUUUAGCCCAUUCCGGCCCAUUUGGCCAAUCCUCAACCCAAGUCCACGGAAUCGCCUGUGGGCCUCAGGCAACCUAUCGAUUUCCUCUCCACGAGUGUUCGCGCACUCGUGUGACUACCGUAGCCCAACUUUCAGCUUUUCGACAUUUUGGCUUUUGCCGAUUCAUUGAGUCUGUGCAGUGUAUGUACACACCUGGUAGGCAAGCAUGCUACGAUUUCCUUAGUCCAAACCUACAAUCGAUAUCACUCAAAGAUUAAUCUCACAAACUUAUCGAAUACUUUACCAAAAGCCAGAAUCUCACCUUAACCUUACCUUGCACGAUAAGUAUAACAACCCCUUCACUAACCACAAUCAACUCCUAGAUCUGCACCAAUUGUAACUAUUAAAACCAGAAUAAUAGGUGACUCGUAUCCAACACAAGUCCCCUUACCUUACUAUGGCUAUUCGGCCAACCUUAGCCAAUGAGUGAGGAAUACUUACCAAAACUGCAACACCUAAGGGGCAAUUAGACAAUGAGCUAAGAUCUGAGAUCCGAUACUAAUUCCCUACCUCAGUUGAUUAGAAAGAGUGAGGGACAAUAUUCGAUACUUAGCAAAGAAAUCGCUUGGGAGAACAAUACUUACACUAGAUUUGACUGGAGUAGAAGUAGUAGUGAUUGUACCAAGGGUAUUCGGCCAAAGAGGCUCGGCCCUUUACGAUUUUGUAUGGCAAAAGAGGGUUAUUGGCUCCAGAAAAAAGAAAGAAAAGUCAGUAAUGAAGAAGAGGAAGAAUAGAAUUCGGCAUAAGGAAGGAGAAAAAGAAAAGAAAGGUAGAGGGUUUUCGGCUUUUAGAGAAAAUAGUUUCUGGUAAUAAGGUGAAGGAAAUUCGGUCAUUAGCUUUAUACCCUAGCAUUCGACACCUAUUUAUAAGCCUUAUAGCUGAAUUUUCCCAUGCCCAAUUCCCCAUUUUGCUCUAUCACUUCUCCCUUCUCAUCUCUUCAUUUUUCUCCCUGAUGACCCUUUGAUCCUUUCCUUAAUUUUCUCUCCUGAACACUUCCCUUGAAGUCCACUUUCACGCCACUUCCAUCCUUCUAGAAGGUAAAAAUUAAACUUCUAAAAACACUAAGCUAGGAUUCGAUCCUUGGACCUCCUUGCUAGCUAUUAACGCCACCUCUCUACACUCUAAGUGGCGUCACUUAGCCACUCCUCUACUAGGCUCUUUGCUGCUAUUUUCCCCUAUCUUUAUUUAAAAGCCCAACUACUUGCCAACCCUAAUUUUUUUUAAUAAUUAACUUAUAAUUUCUUCUACCCCUUAAUUCGAACUCGAACCUUGACCAAGACCUACCUUUGCGUAAUUAGCACUUAACCAGAAUUAUUAAGCACAAAAUAAAAAAUUUAAGAUUUCGGGAUUUUUGGACUUCAGGAUUUUUGGGGCGUUACAUUUAUCAACUAACAUUCAAACAUAAAUCCACCUAUACAUGCCAUUAUUACCUUAGCCAAAACAUCAAAAACUACCGAUAUAAUUGUUGGAUAGUUUGAUAUAUCUCCGAUGAGCUUCCAAACUGAUCGAGCUUCUAAUUGUCUAUAAAAUAUAGGAAAGAAAACUAUGUAAGCAUAUAAUGCUUAGUAAGUUCGUAAAACAUGAGCAUAACUUACCAUUUAAAGCAUAACGUGAAAAUUAAGCAUGAUAUAAUCCAAUCAUAAGUUUGGCACAAGCCUAGGCACAAGCCUAAGCACCAUCAACAACACAUGUUAGUGUAUUAACACAUAAUUCACUUGAAUUAUCAUAAGGUAAGCUAGGUGUACAUGAAUAUACUACUUUUCAAUUCAUCCUUUUCUUGAACAUAGAUAUACUUUCAUUGAAUAUUUACAUUUCAAACCUUUUCAUAGAUUUAUGACAUAGUUCAUUUGACCACUUAUCGUUCCUUUCCUUUUCAUACCCGUUGAACCAUUCAGAAUAACAUUGGAUACGUAGGGAAGCUCACAUGAAGUGUGCUAAACGUACAACCUUCCCUUUCCUUUUACAUCAUUGCCCACAUAAGCUGUGAAAUGGGCCUGCUCAGAUGAUCUGUGGGUCAUAAUGUAAGCUACACGAUGUUGCUUACAUGAGCUAUGGAGUAACUACAACAAAUGUAGGACCCCAGCCAUCGGUACGACAUUCAAGACCAGCACCCGAAACAUAAAAAUCCAAAUGACAUGUCAUUUGUAUCCUACGAAUUGCUAAGGUUCAAAAGAGGCUCCUUAAUCAUGGUGACAUCAUUGGAUUUACGUCAUUUAGCUACAUGGAAAAUGACACAUUAACAUAUAGAUCAAUAUAACAUUAAAACAUUUUUUAACCAUACGAGCUUACAUCAACAAACAAAGCGUAAAAAUGUAGUCGAUCAAUCUGAAGCUUUCGCUUUUUCGCAAUCUAAAUUUGUUUGAGGUCUAUCUUGAUCUAAAUAGAUAAAUUCAAUUCAUUUAAUACUUCUAUUAUUCAAGUUAGUUAAUAUUUCAUUUUUAUAAAAUUAUAAUUUUUCCCCUAACAUUUUAACAUUUUACAAUUUAGUCCUUAAGCUCAUAAAUUGAAAUCUAAGCAUUUUUAUCCUCAUUUCAUGCUAGCUGAAUUCACCAGGGACAUAUACCAACUCAUACAAAUCACCAUUUCAUGAAUUGAACUUAAACUUUUAUCAUUUUUACAAAUAAGUCCUUAAAUGAAAAUUUCAUCAUAAAUCCCUUUACAAAACUUGUUUAUUUAACAACAAGGAUUCAUAUUCUUCCAUUAAACUUCAAGAGUCAUACAAGAACAUUCAUGGAAAAACUCUAAAUCUUUAACCCUUUUGCAAUUUAAUCUUAGGCUAGCUAGAUUAAGCUACAACGAUCCCGAAAACAUAAAGAUCAUUAAAAAUAGAAUAAAAAGUCACUUACAUGCAAGCCAUAUUCUUAGUUGAAUCAAAGAACCCGAAAAUGGUGAUAUUCUCACUUGAAAAUUUGGUGUAAGAAGAUGAAUGCAAAUAGAAUUUUGUUUUAUUAAAUUUUAACCUUAUUUACCUAAUUACUAAAAUAACCUUUAAAAACUUUAAUAGUUUCAAUAAAACCAUGCCAUGUAUGUCCAUUAACCACAUAAAUGGUCUAAUUGCCAUCUAAGUCCACUCACAUUUAAAUUUCAUAGCUAAUUGAUAUCUAAGUCCCGAAUUUUGAUUUUUCCUUGCUCUAUCAUUUCAAAUAUAGCCUAAUUAGGACUCACAUUAUUCAAAUUAACCCAAAAUCAUAUUUUGGCAAAAUUACAAAAUUUCCCCUAAACUUUGUCAAAAUUAUAUUUUUGCCCCUAGGCUUGUAAAUUAAACUUCAUCCUAUUUACUUAUGUUUUAUGACAUGAUGACCAUUUUCCCUUCUAUAGAAACAUCAAAUUCACACUCUAACAUGUACUUAUUAACAUUAGGUAUUUUUACUGAUUAUGUCGUUUUACUCGUUUUCACGUAAAAUCGCUUAGUAAAAGUUGUUUAACACAAUUUCAAGCUUCAUAUUCUACCAUAAAACAUCAAAAUAAACACAUUUCACCUAUGGGUAUUUUUCCAAAUAUAAACCCUACAUUAAAUUAUUGCUAGAAUAAGCUUAACCAAGUUACCGGGAUUUCAAAAAUGUAAAAACUUUAAAAACAGGGCUAGGGAGCACUUACAAUCGAGCUUGGGAGUUUGAACAAACCUUAACCAUGGCUGUUGCUGGUAGAAAUGGAUGAAUGAAGAAGAAGAUAGCUAAUUUGGCUUAUUUCCCUUUUUUAAUUUUUUUAAUUAUUAGUUUACCAAAAUACCCCUAACUUAAAAAUAAUUUAUUACACCCAUUUCAUGUCUAUUUUUGUCCAGCAGUUACCCAAUGGUCUAAUUACCAUUUAAGGACCCUCAAUUUAAUUGGACACCUCUAGUAUGUAGAACUCAACUUUUGUACUUUUUUACGAUUUAGUCCUUUUGACUAAAUUAAGUGCCCGAACGUCAAAAUUUUCGAACGAAAUUUUCACGAAAUUAUUUCGUGAAAUUGUAGACCAUAAAAAUAUAAUAAAAAAUAAAUUUUCAUCGUCGUAUUUGUUGUCCCCAAACCACUGUUCCGACUAGGCCUAAAAUCAGGGUGGUACAGGGUGCGCCAGUUCUAUUUGUGAGAAAGAAUGAUGGAACUAUGAGAAUGUGCAUUGAUUAUCGACAACUCAAUAAAGUGACCAUAAAGAAUAAAUAUUCGUUGCCACGCAUUGAUGAUUUGCUCGAUCAACUAAAGGGAGCUUCAGUGUUUUUGAAAAUAGAUUUGAGAUCAGGUUACUAUUAGUUGCGAGUUAGAGAUUCGGAUGUGCCUAAGAUUGCUUUCCGAAUGAGAUACAAACAUUAUGAGUUUUUGGUGAUGCCGUUUGGACUUACUAAUGCACUUGCUAUUUUCAUGGAUUUGAUGAAUCGAAUCUUCAAACAGUACUUAGAUCGAUUUGUGGUUGUGUUUAUUAAUGAUAUAUUGAUCUAAAUUGGUAUUACAGACUUUGGGGCAUAUGGUUUCGGCAUCAGGAAUACGGGUUGAUCUAAGUAAGAUUUCGGCUAUACUUGAUUGGAAACCCCCGAGAAAUGUUUCAGAAGUUUAGAGUUUUCUAGGACUUGCUGGUUACUACAGGCGAUUUGUAAAAGGUCUCGAUGAUUGCAACUCCAAUGACAAAGCUAAUUCAAAAUAUAUUAGAUUUGAGUGGACAGAAAGGUGUCAGAAAAGUUUCGACCAAUUGAAAACUUUGUUGACUAAAGCUCCAGUGCUUGUUCAACCGAAAUCGGGUAAAGAGUUCGUUAUCUUUAGUGAUGCAUCCUUGAAUGGUUUGGGAUAUGUUCUAAUGUAGGAAGGAAAAGUUGUAGCUUCUGCCUCAAGGCAGUUAAAGCUGCACGAAAAGAACUACCCGACACACGAUCUCGAAUUGGCCGCUAUAGUGUUUGCUUUGAAGAUAUGGCGUCAUUAUUUGUUUGGUGAAAAAUUUCAUGUUUAUUCUGAUCACAAAAGUAUCAAAUAUUUGAUGACUCAAGAAUAUUUGAAUUUGAGACAGCGACGAUGGUUAGAGUUGCUUAAAGAUUACGAGCUUGUGAUUGAUUAUCACCCGGGAAAGACUAAUGUGGUUACUGAUGCCCUAAGCCAAAAAUCACUGUUUGCUCUGUGUCCAAUGAAUGCAGAUAUGGCUAUGACUGACGAUGUUGCAAUUAUAGUAGAAUUAAAAGUGAGACCAUUAUUUAUUCAGCAGAUUUACAAAGCUCAAAGGGUUGAUUAAGACUUGAUAGCAAAAAGGAAUUAGUGUGAUUCGAAUGCUGACUCGGAAUUUCAGGUUGAUGCUGAGGGAUGUUUGUGGUUCAGAAACCGAAUAUGUGUACCAAAGGAUCCUAAGUUGAUUCGGAUGAUUUGUAAUGAAGCUCAUAAUAGUAGGUUUUCUAUUCACCCGGGUAGCACGAAGAUGUAUAAUGAUCUGAAACAGUACUACUGGUGGCACAGUAUGAAAAUAGAUAUUUCAGACUUCGUGUCGAAAUGUUUGAUAUGUUAGCAAGUAAAAGCCGAGCAUCAAGUACCAUCAGGAUUACUUCAGCCAAUUAUGAUACUUGAAUGGAAAUGGGACCGAGUCACAAUGGAUUUCAUAUCUGGUUUACCGUUAACACCAAGCAAGAUAGAUGCAAUCUGGGUUAUUGUUGAUAGAUUGACAAAGUCGGCUCACUUUAUUCCGGUCCAUAUAGAUUACUCGCUCGAUAAGCUAGCUGAAUUGUACAUUACUUAAAUUGUACGAUUAUACGGGGUACCUAUAUCUAUUGUUUCGGAUAGAGAUCCGAGAUUUACAUCAGGUUUUGGAAGAAACUGCAAGAUGCAUUAGGUACUAAAUUACAUUUUAGCACUACUUUCCACCCGCAGACGGAUGGUCAACCCGAACGAAUCAUUCAAAUACUUGAGGAUAUGUUGAGAUGUUGUGUUCUCGAGUUUGAGGGUACGUGGGAAAGAUACUUUUCCCUGAUUGAAUUUGCGUACAAUAAUAACUUUCAGUCGAGUAUUAAGAUGGCACCUUAUGAAGCUUUGUAUGGUCGUAAAUGUCGUACACCUUUGUACUGGACUGAGCUCUAUGAGAAAAAGAUAUACGGGGUUGAUUUGGUGAAAGAGAUUGAGCAAAAAGUAAAAGUGAUCCGUGAAAGUUUGAAAGCAGCGUCAGAUCGUUAGAAAUCAUAUACAGAUUUGAAGCGUAAUGACAUAGAAUUUCAGAUAGGUGACCGAGUAUUUUUGAAAGUCUUGCCGUGGAAGAAAAUUCCUAGAUUUGGUCACAGAGGCAAGUUGAGUCUGAGAUUUAUUGGACCGUAUGAGAUUGUAGAGCGGAUUGGGCCGAUUGCGUAUAGAUUACUGUUGCCACCUGAGCUAGAAAAGAUCCACAAUAUUUUUCAUGUUUCGAUGCUCCGACGGUAUAGAUCCGAUCCUUCUCAUGUGAUUAGUCCAUCCGAAAUUGAGAUUCAGUCCGAUUUAACUUAUGAGGAAGAAUCGAUUCGUAUUCUGGCUCACGAAGUGAAAGAGUUGAGAAAUAAGAAAAUAUCAUUGGUGAAAGUGCUGUGGCAUAAGCACGGGGUUGAGGUAGUAACUUGGGAGCUUGAGGAUUCGAUGAAAGAAUGUUAUCCAAACCUAUUCAUUGGUAAGAUUUUCGGGGACAAAAAUCCCUAAGGGGGGAGAGUUGUAACAGUCCAAUUUUGAUCGUAAUUGGAACGGUGGUUUCGGGACCAUGAAUCUGAGUCAUAAUAAUAUUUAAAUAUUAUUUUCUAUGCUUAAAAUUUGUGAAGUUUCUUUUGUGAAAGUUUUGUUUAAAAAUUUUAGUAUUUGGAGGUUAAUUUAUUUAAGAAGGGUUUAAUCGCGUAAAAUGGAAAAUUUAAGGGUUAAUGUAUAAGGGCCAAAUUAUGAUUGUUUUUAUACUAUGAAAUAUUAAGGUUGCAAUUUGGCCAUAAAUAGGAAUUAGUGGCCGGCCAACAUGCAUGUAUAAUGCCCAUCUCAAAAUUUUGAAAUUGAUUAUGUAUUCAUGAAGUGUCAUCGUUGAUAGUUUGAUGGAAUUUAUGUUUGACGUUAGAAAAUAAAAUAAAAGUGUUAGAUUAACAUUUUUGGCAUUUGGAUUUGUGGUAAGUUUGAGCAUUUAGGGUUAAAUUGCAAAAAUACUAAAUUGAAGGACUAGAUUGUGAAAUUAGUGAAAUGGGAGGACUUAUAUAAGCCUAGUGAACAUUCGGCCCUCGUAUUGUAUAUGCAAAUUCUUCAUAUUUCGUAUUUUGUGAAAUUUGGAUUAAAUUGUAAAAGUGUAUAAUGUUAGGGGUAAAUUCGUAAAUUUCUCAAUUAUGUGUAUUUGGACUUAAAUGAAUGAAAUUCUAUUUGAAUAAGCUUAAUUUGGAACUUUUUAGAUCAAGAACCAAAAAGAUCGGACGUGGAUCGGGGAAAAUCAAAAAUCGUUGAGUAGUCGAAUUUAAUUGUCCAUCAAUAUCCGAGGUAAGUUAUUAAGCAAAUUUUUGUUUUGUUAUUGAUAAGAUUUAAAUAAAUCUAAGUAGAUGAGCCGAAUUGAUUUACAUGAAAUAUUGAUGUUGCCGAAUUCAAAGGGAAUUGAUGAAUUUAAAUUGAUGUGUAUUGAGUAAUGGAAUUUAGGCACUAAGUGUGCGAGUAUAAACGAUUACAGGUGUGAAUCUUGCACUAAGUGUGUGAAUGUGGUUAUUGAGAACUAAGUGUGCGGGUUUAAAUAUCGAGCACUAAGUGUGCAAACUCUAUAUAUAUUUUUGAGUAAACAUUAGCACUAGGUGUGCGAUUAAUUGAUUAGAUCGGGAAUGGUUGAAUGAAUUAAAGCUUUAAACUUCUUGAUGUGCAACUAUGAUGUAUAGCUCAAGUUUAUGCAAGUGAGUAUCGAUUCUAUGUGAUGGAUAUUAUAAAUUGAAAGUAUGUAUAAUGAUAGAUUGGUUUUAAUGGCUUUGUGCUCGAAUAUAUUAAUGUUAUACGAUGAUGGGAUGUUAAAUGCAUUCGGUUUUGUGUUUUGAGAGUAAUGUAGUAUAUUGUGGUUGAGCAGAUGUCUAUUGGACUUAGUAAAAAUUGAGUAUAUGUUUAAUAAAUUUCCUUGAAUUUGGUAAGAUAUUGAUUAAAUGAUAUAGUAGCAUGAUUUAGUUAGAUGAUACUCGACUAUUAAAUUGAAUUUGGAGUUUUUGAUGCUUAUAACUUACUAAGAUAUGGUAGCCUACUUUGGAUGUGCUUUUCAUGUCUCUAUUUUAUAGAUUUUAGAGAUCGUUAAGCGCUCGGGGAUUGUUAGUAAAGUCAUCCAUACUAUCUUCAAUAUUUUGGUAUUUUUAAAAGUUGGUUUGGUACUUAUGGCAUGUAUAAGCUAAUAACUAUUUUGGAGAUGUUUAAAUUUAAUAUAUGUAUAUUGGUUAAGUCAUGAGAAAAUGACUUAAUUUACAUGUUAAAGUUUGGUUAUGCUUGGUUGUGGUUUGAGUUUACCUUUAUGUGCGAUACUUAAACUAUGAGUAUUUAAAUAUUGUAAUGAUCAAUAUGGGUUAUAGUAUUAGUUUGGUAAAAAUUUGAAUAUGAUGGAAUAAUGAGCAUUAAUCGAGUUUAAUUAUUAUAUGAUAUGGUGGUGUAAGUUUAAUCAUGGUAUGUAUAUGUUGUGAUAAGUGAGUUGUUUUAUAUGUUCUUGGUUGAUGAUCGAAAAUUUAUACUUAUAAUUUGAUCAAUUAUGGGUUGGAUAAUGAUAUUAGGUGGUAAUAGCAAAUGUGAGUAUCUUUUAAGCUUAUUAAUUGGUAUUUAUAUUAGGUUUAUUAUAUAUAUAUGAUUUUGGUAUGUACAUUGAGCAUAUAUGGUUUUAUAUAGACGAUCAAAAUGGUUGAAAUGAACAUGUUCAUUUUGCUUAAACAUUGUUGAGAAAUGAUGCACAUUUGGUCUUGUUAUAAUGUUACUUCAUGCGUAUAAUUUUUGUUAAGUAUAUAUUUAUAUACCUUAUUUUGUUGAGUAAAUAUCAAACAUUGAUGGUAUUUGGUUUAAUCUAUUAAUUGUUUUUAAAUGAUUUCGUAGAAUGGUCAAUUGACUUUUUAAGUAAGUGUAAGCAAAUAUUAUUGUGAUCGUUAGGUAAUACCUCAUAACCCCUCCGGCGACGAAAUUGGGUUAGGGGGUGUUACAAGUAAUUUGCACAAGUUUCAUUUUUUGGGCCUAGGGACAAAAUCAGAAUUAUGGAAAAGUUAGGGGCAAAAUGGUAAUUUUUCCUAGGACAUAAAUUGAGUCCAUUUAAAUAUGAAAUGUGUGAAAUUGAUGGUUAAAUUCAUUUAUAUAGAUCCAGACAACACUAAUUCGAGGUUAGAUCGAGGAAAAGAAAAGGUUUCGGAUUAGUAGACUUUAUCCGCGAACAAGUGUCGAGGUAAGUUCGUGUAACUUAAUCUGGCAUGUAAAUAUGUUAAAUUGAAUGUUGUGUUGUUGGAAGGUGACUUAUAUUUAUGUACAUUACUUGUAUGCUAUGAUGGAAAAUAUGAUACAUGCUUGAAAUGGUGAUAAAGGGUGAAGUCCCGAUUGAAUAUUGAAUUCCAAUGAUUAUAUGCGCUUUCCUGAAACUAAUAAGGUCCUGCAUUUGUUGCGGACGGGAUUUAGCUCGGGCGAGUAAUCCCAUUGACCUUGUUAUAGAAAGGAUUUAUCCCGAAUGGGUAAUCCUGAUAUAAUCCCUCUCAAGCAUAUGUUAUAAUUAGGGUUUAGCCUAGACUGGUAAUCCUAAUCGAGCUCCUCUGAGCUUACAUUAUAUAAAGGAUUUAGCCUGGACUGGUAAUCCUGUUACAUUAUAUGCGGCUCGAGGGAGUGUUUCUUGGUUAAGUGCCCUAAUGGAUACCCUUGAAUAAGAAAUUGAUGGAUUAUUGAAUCGUACACUUCGAGUGUACUACUUAAGCAUCCAUCGAAUUUUAGUAUUUCAACGGACAUAAAACUCUUGACAUCGCAUGAAAAUCUUGAGAUGAAAUGAAUAUGACUUUAAAGAAUAUUUCUUGAUGAGCUCGUCUAUGUUACUUGAUUGAUAUGAAGAUUUUGGUGACUAACAUGUUUGAUUGAAUGUAUAUUAAUGGGCAAUUUGGCCAAAUGGAUGGAAACAUAACAUUGUAUGCUUAGAUUUAAUAUGUAAGAUUGGUAAGUUUAGUGUAACACCCCUAACCUAUAUCCGUUACUGGAAUACGGUUACGAGGCAUUAUCGAUCAUUAUACAACAUAUAACAUUCAUCCUCACACAUCAAUCAACAUAAUCAUAUUGUCCUUUAUAAGGGCCUACGAGGCCAUAAACAUGCUUUAGAUGUGGUUAGGGACAAAACCGUUAACAUAUGAAAGUUUCAAAAAACAUAGAAAUUUUUCACUUAUAUAAGGGUCACACACCCGUGUGAACAUGCCGUGUGAGGAGACGCGCCCAUGUCACAAGCUGUGUGGAAACAGGGCAUACAUACUAACUUGUAUCACACGGCUAUCUCCCUUGGCCGUGUGAAAUCUGAAGGGUAUACUGACUUAGGUUACACGGCUGGCCACACGCCCAUGUGUCAGCCCAUGUGUCACACACGACCAGUAGACACGCCCUUGUGUCAAAGCCGUGUAACUUACUGACUUGUUUAAUUAAGCUAUAGUAGACACAUGGUCGAGUCACACGCCCGUGUGCUCAACCAUGUGGGGCGCAAAUAGGCUUGGUUUAAGCCACAUUUCUCACCCUCCUCAAGCAAACCAAAACCACAUCAUUUAAUAACAUAUCAAUACAUUUAUAGGCGCCCAAAACAUGCUAUUUCAUAUACAAAUCAUCCCAAUUAAUCAUCUUAAAACCAAGUCACAACAUGUCAUAUUUUUUAAGUAAUAAUACACCAAUUGGCAACUAGCUAAUUGAGCAGUCAUAUAACCAUCACAACAUCCAUGAUAAACAUGCCAAAACACAGAGCCAUUUAUAUACAUCAUAUUUCACUUACCAAACUCAUAAAAUAAGCCAAGCAAAAUGGCCAAAUUCACACCAACAUUUACAUCAUUUAUGAGUCAAAUCUCAUGGCUAAUAUCAUAUCUCAAAACACAUCAUCAUAUCAAUAGCAUAUACACGUCAUAUACCAUAAUUACAUGGCAUCAAAAGUACCAACAAAUUGAUCGAUAGUGUGACGGUGUUCCUGAUGAUCCCCGAGUUCGAGCUAGCUUCGAUUAUCUAUAAAAAAAGGAAAGAACAGACACAAUAAGCUUUAAAAGCUUAGUAAACCAUAUAUAAAAAAAAUUACCACAUGAAUCAACAUCAUUUCCAUCAAUAGGCAAACUAUGAGUAAGCACAUAUAUGCUUACAAACCUUUCCCAAUGUAUACAUAUUCACCAUCAUAAAAGAAUUCAUCAUAUACUUCCCUUUUCAAUACUUGUAUGAAUCUCGUACAUACCUGAGUCACUUAACUCAUUCACACAUUCUUUCUCAACUUGGAUUUGCCCAUUGAACCUUUUGGAAUUGUUAAGGAUACUCAGAAAUUACCUAUAGUUCGUACAAUGCCAUGUCCCAGAUAUGGUCUUACAGGUUAUCACAUAUCGAUGCCGAUAGCCCAGCUAUGGUGUUACUUGAAAUCAAAUAACGAUGCCAAUGUCCUAGACAUGGUCUUACACAUAAUCACAUAAUGAUGCCAAUUUCCCAGACAUGGUCUUACACAUAAUCACAUCUCGUUAAUCCUAAUAUCAUGACAUUUAUAUCCUAUACUAUUCCUAAGGUUCAUACGGGACUUCCGGAUAUUGAAACUCUAUUGAUUCUUGGUCGUAUUUGAUCAUUCAACAUUCAUAGCAGUUAAAUGAAAAUUAAACAUAUAUAAUUCAAUUUAAAGACAUUUAUUUGCAUAUGGACUUACCUUGUAUUCAGAAUAAACGAACUCGGUUGACUAUUCAAUAACCUUUGAUUUUCCCUGAUCUAAAUCUGAUUUUUUUCGUUCUUGAUAUAUAUACACUCAAAAUUAACUCAAUUAUUCAUCAAAUCAUUCAAUUCAAUCCACAAACACAUAGUUGGGCAUUUUUACACUUUAGCCCCUAAAGUUCCACAUUUUUACAAUUGAGUCCCUAUUUCACAAAUACACAAAAUUCAUGAAAUUUCAUUAAACCCAAGCCUAGCCGAAUUUCAUAUAGGUCCAUAGCAGCCCAACACUUUCAUUUAUUUCACAUUUCAACCCCUCAAUUUACACUUUUCAAAAUUAAACCCUUAAUAGGCAUUUUUACUCAAAAUCACUUAACAAAACUUGUAUAACUAUCAACAAAUAUUCACUUUUUAUCCUAAAACAUUCAAAAGCUCAAACAUUCAUCAAUGGCACUUCAAAAAAUCAUUAACAACUUCAAAAAUUAAGGCAUGGGCUAGCUAGAAUACAAAGCAACGGUAUCAAAAACAUAAAAAUCAUAAAAAACCAAGCUAAAAUCGUACCUUAAUUACUUACAUUAACCUAGCUGAAUGACAAACCCUAUUUUAGCUUUUCUUCAAGCUUCAUUCGGCCAUAAAAGAUGAACAUAAAGAUGGAUUUAGUUUUGUUUUAUUUAAUAUAUCAUUUAUUAACCAUUUACCAAAAUAACCUUUAAUAAAAACCAUUAAAAACAUCCAUUUCAUAUCCUUUUAUGUCAAAUUCAACUAUCAAUGGUCUAAUAACAUCAUAAGGACCUUUCAUUUAAUAUUCAUAGCAAUUAGUCACCUUUAACAAAUAGAAUGCAACUUUUAUAUUUUGCGCUAUUUAGUCCUUUUAUCAAAUUAGACAUCUAAUCGAUAAAAUUAAAUCACGAAACUUUCAAACAUACAUGCUAUCAUGCUGUAAACAUAUAAAAUAAUAUUAAAAUAAUUUUUUUGACAUUGGAUUUAUGAUUUUGAAAUCACUAUUCCAACUUAGCUAAAACUGAGUUGUUACAACUCCCCCCGUUAGGGAUUUUCGUCCUCGAAAAUCUUACCAGUAAAUAGGUUAGGGUAUUGAUUGCUCAUAGCAUCCUCAGAUUCCCUCGUAGCUUCUUCAACCCCGUGUCAAUGCCAUAAUACUUUGACUAAUGCAAUUCUCUUAUUUAUCAAUUUUUUGAUUUUACGAGCUAGAAUUCGGAUUGGUUCUUCAGCAUAUGACAUAUCUGAUUGAAUUUCAACCUCGGUCAGGGAAAUGACAUGUGAAGGGUUAGAUCUGUAUCGUUGAAGCAUCGACACAUGAAAUAUAUUAUGUAUUUUCUCCAACUCAGAUGGUAAAUACAGUUGAUAAGCAACUGGUUCGACUCGCUCAAUAAUCUCAUACGGUCCAAUGAAUCGUGGACUCAAUUUCCCUUUCCGACCAAACCGCUAUAUCUUUUUCUAUGGCGACACUUUCAGGAACACUCUAUCCCCAAUCUAAAACUCAAUAUCUUUUCGUUUCAAGUCUGUGUAAGAUUUCUAUCGAUCCGAUGCUGCUUUCAAACUAUCGUGAAUUACUUUAACUUUUUCUUCUGUUUCCCUUAUCAGAUCAACUUCGUGAAUCUUAUUCUCACUUAGUUUAGUCUAGUACAAUGGUUUUCGACAUUUACAACUGUAUAUAGCUUCGUAUAGUGCCACCUUUAUAACUGACUGAAAGCUAUUAUUGGACGCAAAUUCAACCAGCGGUAAAUAUUUCUGCCAGCUACCCCCAAACUCAAGAAUGCAACAACGCAACAUAUCCUCGAGUAUCUAAAUAACUCGCUCGGAUUGACCAUUCGUUUAAGGGUGCAAUGCAGUGCUAAAAUGCAGCUUUGUACCUAAAGCUUCUUGCAAUUUCUUCCAUAAUCGCAAAGUGAAUCUCAGAUCUCUAUUCGAAACAAUAAAUAACGAUACUCCAUGCAAUCGAACAAUCUCUGAGAUAUACAACUCAGCCAAUUUAUCAAGUGAGCAAUCCGUAUGUAUAGGGAUAAAAUGAGCUGAUUUUGUUAAUCUAUCAAUAACGACACAAAUCACAUCUUUCUUUCUCGGAGAUAAGGGCAAACUAAGACAAAAUCCAUUGUUACUCUAUCCCACUUUCAUUUAGGAAUCAUAAUAGGCUGUAGUAAACUUGGUGGCACUUAAUGUUCAGCUUUGACUUGCUAACAAAUCAAACAAUUCGAAACAAAUUCUGAAAUAUCACAUUUCAUGCCGUGCCACCAAUAAAACUGUUUUAAAUCAUUAUACAUUUUCGUGCUUCCUGGAUGUACUGAUAAACAACAACUGUGUGCUUCAUUUAGAAUAUUCUGAAUGAGUUCAGAAUUUCUUGGUUCACAUAUUCUAUCACGAAACAUCAAAUAGUCAUCAGGCCCUAUUUGAAACUCAAAAUUAGAAGUCAACUUACACUAAGCUCGUUUUGCCUGUAAUUCAUUAUCAAACUUUUGAGCUUCACAAAUCUGUUGUAGAAAUAAUGGUCUCGCCUUCAACUAGGCUACUAUCGAACUGUCAUCAGACAAAGCUAAUUGUGUGUUCAAAGCUCGUAAAGCGAAUAAGGACUUUAGACUCAAAGCAUCGGCAAUUACGUUUGCUUUCCCCAGAUGAUAGUCAAUUACUAAUUCAUAAUCUUUUAGUAAUUCUAGCCAUCUUCGCUGUCACAAAUUCAAGUCUUUCUAAAUCAUCAAAUAUUUCAAGCUUUUGUGGUCGGUAUAAAUAUGAUAUUUCUCGCUAAACAAGUAAUGACGCCAAAUUUUCAACACGAACACUAUUAUAGCCAACUCUAAAUCAUGCACCGGAUAGUUCUUUUCAUGCAGUUUCAAUUGUCUCAAAUCAUAAGCUAUAACUUUCCCCGCCUGCAUCAAACAUAACCCAGGCCAUUUAACGAUGCAUCACUAAAAACUACGAAUUCUUUACCUGACUCAGGCUGAACUAACACUGGUGCCUCUGUCAAUAAUGCUUUCAACUGCUCAAAGCUCUGUUGACACUUUUCUAACCACUCAAAUUUAACAUCUUUCUAAAGUAAUCGUGUCACCAGAGUCGCAGUCAUCGAGAAGCCUUUCACAAAUUGAGUAUAAUAGCCAGCUAGUCCCAGAAAACUACGGACUUCAGAUACAUUUUUGUAACACCCCUAACUCGUAUCCUUAGCUAGAAUAGGGUUACGAGGCAUUACCGAUCAAACACAAAAAAAUUCAUACAUAUACACAUUCAUAAUCAAAAUACAUUAAAAUCAUUCACAUUGUCCCUUAUAAGACUCUACGAGACCUUAAAACAUUCUUAGAAGUGGUUCAGGACUAAACCUAUAACAUUUGCAAACGUUAGGAAAUUUAGAAAAUUUUUAAACUUUUCAGGGUCACAUGCCCAUGUAAACAGGCUGUGUGUUUCACAUGGACACAUGGCUACCAGACACGCUCGUGUCACAAGCCAUGUGAAAAUAGGGCAUACAUACUGACUUGCACCAUACAGCCGAGGACACGUCCGUGUGCCAAGCUGUGUGAAAUCUAAAGGGGUUACUAACUUGGGUCACACGGCUGACCACACGCCCAUGUGCCAGCCCGUAUGCCACACGCGGCCAGUAGGCACGCCCGUGUGUCUAGGCUAUGUCAAAACUAUAUGGUAUACUGAUUUUAAAUCGACGGGUACCCCAGGGGACACACGGCUGUGUAACAUGACCGUGUGUCGCACACGGCUGAGAACAUGCCCGUGUCUCUAUCCGUAUUGACAAAAAUAGGCCAUUUGAAAAGCUAAUUUUCCACCCUACUCACAUGUACACAAAGCAAACCAUAUGAUACCAUUUCAGUACAUAUUUUGCAAUAAAAAACAUGCCAAUUCAUAUUCAUAUUAUACCAGCUAUUCACAACCAUUAUAGUUACUCAAUUCCAUAACCAAAACAUACCAUUUCAAUAUGCCAAAAUCAUCAAACUUACAUAACUUCAAAAUGCAUUUACCCUUCAACUUAUCACCUAUUUCCUACCUCACUUAUACCAUUCCUCAAGCAUUCAUAACUAACCAAAUCAACAUUCAUUAAGUUAUAUUCACAACUAUGACAAAGAUACCAUAUCAAGCCAACAUAUAAGGCAUUAUAUACAUUACAUACAUCACUUAUCAAACACAUGUUUCAAGCCAACUUUAAAGGCUAUACACAUUAACAAUUUACAAGUCAAAUCUCAUGGCUAAAAUCAUCACUCAAAAAACAUACCAAAAUGACACUAGCCUAUACAUGUCAUAUACCAUACAUAUACAAAGCUCAAAAGUACCAACGAGAUGAUCGAUAGUGUGAUGACAUAUUCCUGAUGAUCCCCGAGUCUGAGCUAGCUUCGAUAAUCUAUGAAACAUAGAAAGAACACACAAAGUAAGCUUUAAAAGCUUAGUAAGCCAUAUAAAAAUAAAUCUAUACCAUAAUCAACAUCAUUCUCAUCAACUAAGCAAAUUAUAACUAAACACAUUUAGUUACACAAACCUAUCUCAAAUUACAUCUAUUCCAAUUCACAUGUAAUUUCAUCAAAUGCUUCCCUUUUUCAAUUCUCAUAUGAGUCUCGUACAUACCUGAAUCACAUAAUCUUAUAUUCAAUCUUGACUUGACUUUGCCCAUUGAACCCUUUGGAAUCACUAAGGAUGCUCAGAUGUCUCGUAGAGCUCAUACAAUGCCAUAUCCUAGAUAUGGUCUUACAUGUUUUCAUAUACCGAUGCUAACGUCCCAAACAUGGUCUUACCCGAAAUCAUAUAACGAUGCCAAUGUCCCAGACAUGGUCUUACAUGUAAUCUCAUCUUGAUAAACCUAAUGUUAUGGCAUUUGCAUCCUAAGUAUUCCUAAGGUUCGUACGUAGUCGGAAUAGACGGAAUAGACUAAAUUCAAUGACAAAUAAUACAUAUCUAAUUCAAUUUAAAAGCAAGUAUUUGCAUAUGAACUUACCUCGUAGUCAGAAUAGACGGACGAAAUCGACUAUUUGGUAACUUUCAUUUUCCCCCGAUCUAAAUCCGAUUUCUUUCGUUCUUGAUAUAUAUACAUUCAAAAUUAACCCUUUUAUUCAUCAACACAUUCAAUUUCAUCCAUAAACACAUAUUUAGGUAUUUUUUCACUUUAGCUCCUAAAGUUACACAUUUAUUCAAUUUAGUCCCUAUUUUAUAAAUACACAAAAUUACACGAUUUCUUCCUAAUUUCAUGCUAGGUGAAUUUCAUAUAGCUUCAUAUCAACCCAUAUUUUCAUUUAUUUCACAAAUUUAAACACACAUUUUACACUUUUCACAAAUUAGUCCUUUUUAUGAAAUUUCACUAAAAAUCACUUUACAAAAUAGGAUAAUCAAUCAACAAAUACUUAUUUUCCAUCAUCAAAAAUUCAAGAACACAUGAAUUAAUCAAUGUCAAUUUUCAAAAUCAUCAACACUUUCAAAAAUUGAGGCAUGGGCCAACUAGAUUACUAAGCAGCGAUCCCAAAAACAUAAAAAUCAUCAAAAAUCGAACAAAUUUCAUACCUCAAUCAAGAUGAGCAACGGCUGAAUGGUUAAAAGCUCAAAAGCCUAUUCCUUUUGGUGAUUUUCGGUUGAAUAUGGUGAUAAUGAAGCCAAAUUUUGGUUUUCUUUUAUUAAUAAUAACAUUAAUAACUAAAUUACCAAUUUAACCUUAGUUAAAACCAAUUUAAAACAUCAAAUAUAAGACCAUUUAUGUCCAAUCCCGCUCUCAAUGGUCUUUUUAAAACAUAAGGAAUUCACAUUUAAUAAGCCAUAUCAAAUAGACACCUUUAUAAAAUAGAAUGCAACUUUUGCAUUUUACGCGAUUAAGUCCUUUUCUCAAAUUAAGCACUUAAACGAUAAAAUUAACACACGAAACUUUCACACAUAUUUAAUAUCAUGUCGUAAACACAUAAAAUAAUACUAAAAUAAAUUUUCCAACCUUGAAUUUUUGGUUCCAAAACCACUGUUCUGAUUUAGCUAAAAAUCGGGUUGUUACAAUUUCUCGGAGGCUUCCAAACUAUAAUUGCAAAAAUUUUACUCGGGUCAACUCAGAUACCCGCGCCUGGAACUAUAUGUCCCAAAAAACCAACCUCUCGCAGCCAAAACUCACAUUUUCUAAUUUUGCAAACAACUGCUUAUCUCUCAAAGUUUGUAGUACGAUUCUCAAAUGUUCUUCAUGCUCAGAUUUAUCACAAGAAUAAAUCAAAAUAUCAUCAAUAAACACAACUACAAAUCUAAGUACGACCUAAAAAUCCAGUUCAUCAAAUCUAUAAAAAUAGCAGGUGCAUUUGUUAAUUCGAAAGGCAUAAUAAGAAAUUCAUAGUGUCCGUACCUCGUUCUAAACGCGGUCUUUGGCACAUUUGUGCCUUUAACUCGCAACUGGUAAUAACCCAAUCUCAAUUCAAUUUUCGAAAACACUGUUGCUCCUUUUAACUGAUCAAACAAAUAAUCAGUCCACGGUAGAGGAUAUUUGUUCUUUAUAGUCGCUUUAUUCAGUUUUCUAUAGUCAAUACACGUUCUCAUCAUGCCAUCUUUCUUUUUCACGAACAAUACCGGUGCACCUUAAGGAGAGAAA